GUGAUUUUUUUUUGUAAUAUUCUCAUGGGAUAGACUGAAAAGGAACUAGUGGCAUGAAUCGUUCAUGCAUCAGCAGAAUGCCUGUUUUAUACAAUAAUUUAACAUCUCACACAUAUGGGUGACUGAAAAAGGACUAGUGAUCUUUUCGCAAAUCACUGAAAUAUAUAUUAGGAUGGUUGGAGAAAAGUCCCAAGUGAAGAUUAAUACGUAGAGAAUAACCAGGUUGCAAUCCAUCCGGUGUGCUGCGUACGUGCUGUUAUCGUUGUUGGCUGGAUCGAUCCGAUCAAAAGUCCUUCCAAAAGCGCAGCAGAUAUACGUACGCACUCGGCAAACCGAAAAAGCGCACAAGGCAGAUCACAAAAAAGCACGAAACUACAGCGCACUCAAGAUAGUAUGAAACUACAGGGCACCGAAGAUAAAAAGAGGCCAGACUCUCUGAGUUUACUAGACACACAGUGACCCUGAUUGCUCACCCACUUUCCCUCGCAAAAGAAGAAAAAAAGAAUGCUCACCCCUUCCCUAUUUUCUAGAAAUUAAUUACAUUUAGGUCACUUCCACAAUUACAUUUAGGUCACUUCCACUCCGGGUGUGGUCGUGUCUGACAAUUUUAUUGAAAUCCAAGAAAUGAACAGUCCAAGAAAUAAUAUGCAUAAGCAUGCGUAUCAUUGCAUUAAGAUGAAGCGGCAAAGAAGCCGAAUACAACGUCUUUCGGUCAUUAUAAGCUAAUCACAAGGAUUAGCAGCCACACCCACGAACAAGCACUACGAAACAUGCUACACCUAGACCAACCUCAUGCCAAUGGCGAUGAGGCGAGCCACAUAGCGACCAAGUGUCACAACUAACGCCGGAGACAUCUAUAACAUGACCAAGACUCGAGAACAACACAGACCAACGUAUGCAACCCAUUGCGCCAAGAGAAAGUCGACAAGUGAACGGCAGAGCCUGGGCGCACCUUAAGAAGGCGUCGCCGAGAGAGCACAAGCGAUGGUGUACAUUGAGGCCCAGAGACCCACCCCAAGAGCAGUAGCCGACACCGAUUCAAGCCGCACCACCGGACUCCUCGAGAAAGCAAGACGACACCUCCAAAAAGGGCACAACAUGAUGACACCGCCGCCACCUAGUUUGGAAGCCAGACCAAAGUUUCCCCCAAGCACGAGAAAGUGAGUCAGACCAGGGCCAAAACAACGCCUCUAGGGAGGGGACGCUGCCCAAGGGCGUCGUCGUUGUCAGCCUCAGCCAUCAUGAAGCAGGGAUUUCUCCCAACAGACGAUCAUCGAGCCCAAAGUCCAUCGGAGCUGCUCAAGCAUGCUAGCCACCGCACCGGGAGGAGUCGCAUCGCAUCUCGAAGCACAUUACCCGCCACCAUCAAUCUAGCCAGGAACACCACUACCAAACCACUGCAUCCCGCAGCACAUCAUCCGCCACCAUCAAUCCAGCCAGGAACACCACCCAAAAAAUACAGCUUUCGAAGCACGUCAUCUGCCGCCACCAAGCCAUCGAGCAACACAGCCCCAACCGAAAUGAUCAGGGCGCCGGGGCCCCAAUCCAUGGCUCCACCGCUCACCAUGGCCAACCUGGAGGAGCCCAAGCCCAUCCACCGUGGCCGACCAUCGCCAAAACCACCUCUGCAGGCACCCAGAUCCGGGCCAUCCACAGGCUGCCGCGAGGCCACCAUCCAGCGUAGCCCUACUGCUAAGAGGGACGCCUCCUCGCAAGCAGCACCGACCUCCUGACCGAUGCGCACCACCGGCCGCCGCAAGAUGCACUCCGAGAUACUAGCAGCCAACCGAAGCGAGACGCCCCGCCGCCACCUUCCUAGGGCACGCGCGACUUCGUCGGCGUCCACUCCGGUGGCUUCCAUUUGCUGCCGUCCAAAUUGAGACUUCUUUCUUCAGUAAUUGUGAAGAAACCGGGGCAUUUCAAAUUUUCAAUUGCAUGCACGUACAUCUAGCUCAAAACUUAUUUUCCACAACAGUGAAUUGCUUAUCUCUUUUUCUUUCCAUGCACAACACAAAAUAUCAAAUAUGCUACCGUUGUUAGGUAUAGCUAUAAAACAUUGCCAAAUCGCACUUCUUGUUGGUUAGUUGUAGUACUGGUGCCCGGGCCGAAAGCUAUAAAAUCUCCCUUUUGAAAAACAGAAACUUCACUCUGGUGACUACGCAAUGGGUUCACAUAGAAACAAUCUGUUCAUCAACAAUUUGUGCAUCCCCGAUCGAGUAAUGAACUAAUGAUGCAACUUUUUUGUUCGGGCAUAAGACAACUUAGAGAGGAAUAUAGUUUUAGCAUAGAAACCACACAAGUUAUGGCAUUUUCAAAUAAAAGGUUCAGUGUAAUACAGAGGGAAGACAUUCAUUUAUAAAUAAUGUUGUACAAGGAGUAGAAACAAAUUAAGCUGUGAGACGAGAGGUCUUGUUGCCGUCCUCGACCGAUGGUAAAGGAAAACCAUUGCUAGAGCGAAUUUCUGUGAGCCACCACUGUAUCGACACGCAUCACCGUAAAGGAACCUAGCUAGCUGUGAGGUCUUGAUCGAUAGAUUCACUUGGCGUGGAUCGCCCACUAUUCGCAUCGCGUCUCUCGUCAUGUCAGUGUGGGUUGCUAAAGCACAUCCGGGUAAGAAAAAGGGACUGUUCACCACCGGCAGUUCUUGACGUUGAGGAGACAACAGAAUGGUGAUUCAUGAUGAUUGAAGUCUGCCAUUCGACCAAGAUUAGGGUGGAAUAACUGCCGGGGCCUGAUAAUUAGGGUGGUUCAAGUCUGCCAUUUCACAGAAUGAUAGGGUUAGGAUUAGGGUGGCUGAUGGUUGCUUGCCGGGUGAAGCCGCUUCUCCUCUGCGCCGCCGAGAGAGACGCCUCGGCCCGACCAUCUGACUCCGCGCCUCUCGUCGGAGACCGGCCGCCGCUGACUUGCGCCUGGGCUUGGGCUUGGAGUCUCGCGCGUGGAGCAUGACAGGUGCUGCCUGUAGUGUGUCGCGGGAUCCAAGCUGGCUGCUCAACUGCCGGGGCCUCGCAUACGCCUGCUCCUCGUAUAACAUUUUCGCAUGCGAGAGGCGUGAUUCUGGACCAUGGUUCAGCCGAACCUAUGGUCGACGCCGUACGAUUCAACAUCCUGCUACAUAUGGAUCCGCGUCACGCAUUGUUUAAUAUGCAAACAGCUCCCAUCAUGCAUUUUUUAAUCAAUCAUGCACGGAUCCUUAUGAAAAGUGUUCAGAGAUCAAUGGUGUCGAGCGUAGGUUCGGCAGAACCAUGGUUCCGUAUAACAUUUUCGCAUGCUCAAGUCGCCGGCCGCACGUAGCCGCGCAUCAGUCACGCGCCGUCGUGUGGUGUCCGUAUCUGCUGGAGCUGGAUGUCUACAGGGUCUAACAACAUCUCUAGCCGAUCCCUAAAAGAUAGCGGAGUAACUUUCAUGCACUAUUUCUACUUCACUAUUUUUUUUGACUGGACAUUGUGGAUCUUAUUAGAGUAAAACCAAAGAUGAACACAAAUUCAAUUAAACAUAGCCAUAAUUCGACACAUAACCAUAAUGUUUCACAUAGGCAUCAACCGAAGCAUAGUCUACUUAACCGAGACUAUAACUUACUAAUCAAGUCACUAUCCGUAUCAUGCGCGAGCGACAUCCACGUCUCCUUGGACAUCCCACCGACCAUGGGGUCAGGGCCUGUGACGUCGCCCUCGUCGUCACAGAAGAUUCUUCGUCAUUCGGUCCUGAGGCCGUCCUCGUUACCGUCUCCACUUCCAUUGCCUCUGUUGCCGUCAUUGUCCUCAUAGUUGCUUGACAGCAUGAUGAACUCCGCCCGGCCAGCCGCUCGUACAGGCGGUGCUCCACCUCCACUAGUUUUGGGUAGAGGUGGCAGAGCUCUGCCACGUACACCUCAUCGGAGGCCUCCGCCGCGAGCCUUUCCCUUGCCUCCCGCGCGUUGACUACCCCUGGCCAACCCGCGACAUCUCACCCCAUUCAAAGUUCCGGCAGCCCUCGGCGCCGUGCAACCGGACCGACCAAAUGUCUUACUUGGGGGGAGGGGGGCUGGGCCUGCUCGGCGGAGUGGAAGGAUCCAAGAUAGAGUUUUUUGUGGGUGUUCCAAUCCGUGAUCAUGGCUACCCGGGUCCCCCAUGCCCGCUACCGCAUGAUGAGGUAUGGCCUUUGUGGUGGCGGUGGCAUGGGAAGGUCGGGGAAGUCGACGAGCCUGCCGCGGGAGGCAGAUGGGACCGCGCACGAGAAAGUGCCGCAAUUCCGGUGUGAGGAAGAUGCGCUGGCGUUGCGUUCAUGACGGCGCGGAUCUGCGCUGCGAAUGGGCGGUGGGAAGAGCGGCGGCCAUGGGAUCCGGCCAUGGCGGCACAGGUAGGGCUGCAGGAUCGGUUGGGGGGGAGGGUCACCGGCGAGAUGUGGGCGCCAAGGGAUUGGGAGGGAGAGAGGCAGAGAGGUGCGGAGAACUUUACUCCGCGAGUGAGCGGUCGAUUAAGUUUACUCGCUCAGGUCGGCGUGGAGUAAAAUAUGUACUCCGAUAUAGCAUUUAGGGGAUCAGUUAGGUCCCAGUAAAACCAGAUUUUGGGGAUCGGGUAGAGAUGCUCUGAGGGCACCUCCAACGCGGACCCUUAAACCACCUGCUACCGUUCGGACCGCGCGUGUUUUGCCAUCCAAUGCGGUUAUGUAUCGGUCCGCCGACCGAUCUGAACACAUUUUCCCACAAUCUUGAGACAAACUAGGUGGGGGGGAGGGGCUUUACAUGCGUCCGCAUCGCUGCCACGCCCACAUCUAGCAAUCGUGGCCCACCCGCGCUUUUCAUCCAACGCCCGCGCCGCUUGCGGUGCCGCAUUCAUGUUGGCCCGGAGCAUGCAGCGACAUUGAUGGACAUGGCAUCUCGGGCUCCGCCACUUCAAUGCGGAUGCCCUGUAUUGAGAAACCAACUCCGGCCGUUGUGCUUCAUUGAAGCGGGCUGACCGGCCCUUCGCAUGGCUUGGUCGUGGCUAUUUAACCCAUGCGCUGGUGAUGCAUACAUCUGCACUACAUCGUCUCCGAGCCCCUCCUCCUCCCUGAGCCCCUUUUCCUCACCGAGCAUCUCCAACUUCAGCGAUGUCGAAGCCCUGGUUGUUCACCGAGCCGACGGGUGGAGGUGGCGGCAGUUCUUUGUCAGGUGGAUCAUGGCGUCGCCGCCCUUGUCCUCCGGGCCCCUCAAUAUCCACAGAGGUCGGUUUUUCCGGCAAGGAGAUCGUCAUAUCCUCUGACAAUGAGGAGGAUCGGGUGCCACCACAGGAGCAGCAGCAGCCCCGCCUCCUCGCGGAGGUCGCUCUGAUGGACAAAGAAUUUAUCCGUCAGAUGGAGAUCAUAACGGAGCGAUUGCUCCGUCAUAUGGGCCCGGUGCAAUCCUCACCGCCGCAUGCGGUCAAGGAGCAGCCGGCGUCCCCGCCAUGCUACCGCGUCAAGCGGAAGCCAUGCUAAUAGUUCAAGUUUUUUUACUGAGAGCUACUCAUGAAUGAGCUGAAACUUGGCAUGAACAUCGUUCACUCAAGUAUCUUUCACCACAAAAAAAUAGAACUUUUUUUAAAAUUCACUAUUCACAUGGUGUAGAUGAGCUCGGGAGCCGAAUAGAUAUUGGCAUUUAAGUUCAUAACAUAAAUUUAAGUACUGUCACAGGAUUGCAGGAUCAAAAGGUCGACUUAGCAACUAAAGAAGCAGAGGAACUAUUAGCAUGAGCGAGGAAAUUAUAAUAAUAUUUCGUUGUUUUGCCCACUUUUUAUUAUUAGUAAACAAAGACAUACAAAGCCGUAAAUUAAGAAAAAUAAAAUUGAUGUCAUUAAAAAAUCAACUAAAGAGAAAAGAAUAGUGAAAAUGGUGUAACACCCAAAAAAUAAACUAAGGAUGAAUGAACAAGGACAUUAGUACUAUUACCUAAAAGAAGAAAGAAAAUAAAAAAUAAAACAAGUAAAAAAGACGUGCACUCUUCCUUAUUGUGCGCAAAACUUGCACACAAACUACACAAAGUUUGCACUCUUCUAUACUUGCAAGAAUAAGUGUAAACUAGUGCAACUUUAAUAGUAAUUAUGAUUUAAGUAUAUUAAAUGAAAAUGAAUUUCAUUUUAAGGUCAUAACACAAAUUUAAGUAAUGUGACAUGAUUGCAACAUCAAACCGUUGCCACAUGCAUAAACAUAUGCGAAAUUCAAUCGCCCAAAAUUUAACCAAGCAACAAAAACCAAGCAAAGCUAUUAACAUGGGCGACAAAAUUAAAAGGUUCAUUUGUUCUACUCACUUUGUAUUAUUAUUUGUAAACAUAGACAUUUAAAAACAUAAAAAAAUAAUGAAGAUAAAAAAUUUAAUUCAGAAACAUAAAUUUCAACUGAAGAGGAAAGUGAAAAUGGUGUUGCCCAAAAAAAUCAGAAAAUAAAAUAAAAACAUAAAGAAGAAUUAUUCUAAGGAUGAAUAAAUUAAAGGCAUUGGUAUUACCUAAAAGAAGAAAGAAAUUAGAAAAAGAAACAAAUAAAAACUUGCACACAAAAUACAUCAUCAACUAGUAGUGUAACUCAUAUUUUUACAUCUACGUUAUACUCAGUGAUCGAACAACAAAAUAAUAAUGUUGACUAUUAAUCAUCUCUUGAUGCAUCAAAAUUAAAUUACAUCUUGUAUCCAGUGGCGGAGCUUGAAAAAAGAAGUUGGGCGGGCCAGAGAGCACAAUAUUUUCCAAAUUCUAGAGCAUGUAUUACUAAUUCAAUAGAUAUAGUCACCACACCUUCUGUUCACGUAUAUACUUCCUCAGACCAAAAUAAGCCAUAACAUUUGAGAUAGUACACGCGCUACAAUAUCCAGUUUUGGGUACUUUCUGAAAGGUGAACUUUUUUUUCAAAACCAAUGAACUUAUUUCAAAUUUGAUGGACUUCUUUUCAAAAUUGAUGAACUUUUUUUUUCAAACCAAUGAACGUUUUUUCAAAAUCGAUGAACUUUUUUCACAAUCGAUGAACUUCUUUUGAAUUUGUGAACUUUCUUUUGAAUACAUGAACUUUUUCAAUUUGAUGAUUUUUUUGCAUGCUCGUGAACUUUUUCUGUAAUAGGUGAACAUGUUUUAAAAUAAUUAGAAAAUAUAAACGAUACAGUGUGAUGUGCAAGAAAUUUCGUGUCUAUGUUUAUAUUCUUUAAACAUUUCGCGCAGCAACCAUUCAUAAGCAGUUAACUCGUCUAGUGGUUAGCCUCUUCGUGUGAAAGAACGACGGCGCGACAUCGAAUCUCACUCGGGAUGUAUUUUUUGGCAUUCUUUUUGCGCGUUGUGCCAUGCGCGAUCGUGAGCCGGCCCACCGAGCGGCUGCUCGCAAAAUAGGAGGUCCCGGCUCGCGGUGAGGCUGCGAGGCGCCCAGCUCUAUCGGUGUGGGCUGGCCGGCUGGGUAUAGUGCCAUAUAAACUCUUUUUUUUUGCUCUAGUCAUGGGCGGGCCAUGGCCCACUCGGCCUUGCGGAAGCUCCGCCAGUGCUUGUAUCAAUGACGACACCUCCCACAACCCUCUCUAUCACGCACACACUCACGGACGGACGCACCCACACGCGCACACAACACAUGCAUGCACACAUCUGUGUCACGCACAAGACACAACACACACUCUUUUUCUAGAAGCACACGAACACAUACUUGAAUCAGUAAGUGGACUGUGGGCUCCAGUCCCGCCAGUACAGGCCGAUGCCUUUACAUGGCCUGCUACAGAGGAAACUAAUUUUACUGACGCAAACUAAAAAAUUAGGCACCUGACCAUUUAGCAAAACUGGGAAAAAAAUAACAAUUUGAAUACAAUUGUCGGAUGCAUGAUCUCAUGUCCUUCGAGGCUUCGACCUGCCAAUAAAAGAGGCCCNNNNNNNNNNNNNNNNNNNNNNNNNNNNNNNNNNNNNNNNNNNNNNNNNNNNNNNNNNNNNNNNNNNNNNNNNNNNNNNNNNNNNNNNNNNNNNNNNNNNNNNNNNNNNNNNNNNNNNNNNNNNNNNNNNNNNNNNNNNNNNNNNNNNNNNNNNNNNNNNNNNNNNNNNNNNNNNNNNNNNNNNNNNNNNNNNNNNNNNNNNNNNNNNNNNNNNNNNNNNNNNNNNNNNNNNNNNNNNNNNNNNNNNNNNNNNNNNNNNNNNNNNNNNNNNNNNNNNNNNNNNNNNNNNNNNNNNNNNNNNNNNNNNNNNNNNNNNNNNNNNNNNNNNNNNNNNNNNNNNNNNNNNNNNNNNNNNNNNNNNNNNNNNNNNNNNNNNNNNNNNNNNNNNNNNNNNNNNNNNNNNNNNNNNNNNNNNNNNNNNNNNNNNNNNNNNNNNNNNNNNNNNNNNNNNNNNNNNNNNNNNNNNNNNNNNNNNNNNNNNNNNNNNNNNAUAAUGCUAAACAUACAAAGAGUUACACGCAAUCAAAUUAAUCAUUUUUAUAAAACCUUGUAACUCGUUUGUACGUGUAGCAUUACUCCCUUCUCCCUCCUGCCCACACGAACACCACUAACGCCCAAACCGUCACUGCCGUCGAAGGCCGCCGCGAGCAAGGCGAACCUCAUCUCGGGCCAGGAGCAAGGCGAACUGAACUGAUCCAGCGACCACAACCCCGAAUUCGGAGCUUCUUCCCCGGCUCCGGCAACCCCUUCGAGACUCGGUUAUUCUUGUCUAGACAGGUAUAGAGCUAUUCCUUCUCACUAUAGAUUAUAGACUCCCCUCGGCACUAUUUGGUUUCCCUUCACUCAAAUCCGAGGGUUAAUCGGGGUACCUGCUAUCUACACAUGCAUACGACCACCGUCGCCGGCUGUCCAACACGCCGUGGUCGUGUUCCUAGCUAGGAGGGUCCCCGUUCAUCAGUUGUUGUUGUUGUUGUUGUCCUUCUUUAUCUGUUUUGGUAACACCCAGGGUCCAGGGACAUCUAUGGUCUUGUGUGUUGAAGACCUUGCCUAGUAGUAUUAAAUUUCGGUUUUCUGUAACUAAGUUCAUGCAUGUUAGCUAAAGGUAGUCUAUUAUAUUGUAGUUUGAGUCGAUUUUACAUAGCUUUUGUUUAGUUUGGUACCGUUGAUGAAUUAGCAUGCUAGGGUCUGCUCUUGGCAGAUCAUUUUUCGAUUUCAUACUAGCUUACACUCCACCUACACAUGCGACCACCGCCACCGGUUGUCCAACGCACCGUGGUCUGUGAUCCAGCUUAUAAGUUGUUCUGUUCUUGUCCUUCUUUAGUUGUUUUGGUAAGACCCAGGGUCCAGGGACAUCUGUGGAUCUUGUGUGAUAUCACAACUGAAGGUCUUGUGUUUCUAUCAAAACUGAAGGUCUUGCCUAGUAGUAUUAAAUUUCGUCUUUUUAACCAACUAUACAUGUCAGCUAAGGUAGUCUAUUCUAUUGUGGUUUGAAUCGAUCAUCAAUAACUUCAGUUUAGUUUGGUACGGUUGAUUAAUUAGCAUGCAUGCUAGGAUCUGUUAAAACCACACUGAUUUCGUACUAGCUUACACUCUAGUUAGAACCACAGAUUGUUGACCAGUUGAUUGAUUAGGCUGACUACUUGACUGAAAUGCUUGAUUAAGCUGGCUACACUGCUGUUGUGCCCUUCAGCCCGCGAUGAGUUGCGAUGGUUAAUAGUUAAAGUUAAGCUGAUAAAACAGAUGCUUAGUAAAAGUAUAUGUACGUCCAGGGAACUUGAACUGACAGGAAAGACGGGAUAUGAAAGACCCUACGCACACAAAAAGAAAAGUAAAGAAAAAGCUAGAGAGACAUGGUGUGAAUGAACGUAACUGAACGUGAUUGAUUUGAUUGGGCAUGAAUAUCACAGCAUGAGGAAGCUAGUAUUUUGUGGCUUUGUCCAUAGACUUGUACGUUGCUUGUCCAAUCACCUUUGAGGCUAUGAGUUAGCUACUAGUGUAAUCAAUUAUCACAUAUGUGCAAGCAUUAUCAUAUCGAUAGGACAAAUAAUGCGAUGGAAGGCUAGGAUAGCAGGAAAUCUUGCAUGCAUGUGUGGUUCUUGUGGACUUUUCAUAAAAACAAAUUGCUCCAUGAGGCUUCUCCGCCUUGGCCCGUCAAAAAAUGUGUGCAAUGCACCCUUGUAACAAUGAAAUCCUCUAACCAAUGCCUACUAACCACCUCUUAAUUUUUGGUUCCUCAAGAUUUAGUGUGUAUGCUGAUAUUGUUUCCUUCAUGUAAUUUAUAUGAUAAGAAAUAUAUUUUAUAAUGAUUACCCUAAUGCGGUAAAUACAAUUUUCCACAUAUGUGAUAUGUCACUGUAUUUACCCUAAUACUUUCUUCAAAUCCGGGUGACUGCUUCUCCUUGAAACUAAAUUUAUCAGCUGUCAUGACCAAUUUAUGCAGAUCUUACACCAGAAGUACCACAUAUUAAUUAACCCAUAUGAUUUUGCAAGUACAGAUUAACCCAUAUGAUCUUUAACACAUACUUUCUCAUGCUUCAGAUUCCACGAUGUCUCAACCAUCAUCAUCAUCAUUCCAUGGAAGUGACGUGCGAGGAGACGAUUUCACUCCCGCCAUAGUAAGUAUUAUACAAUAUACACUGCUCCUAAUCACUAGUUCUCUCUUGUAUCAUAUUGUUUCUUCUAUUAUUGUUGGAACUGGAAUUACAGUAUAACUACUUUUCUAUGUAUUAAGUAACUAAUUCAGUAUGAUGACUCAUAGACUUACUCCCAUUUCUCAGGAUCGGAGAAGCAUGCAAAGACUGGAGGGGCACGAACUCAUAAAAGCAUUGAACGUGAAGUAUACCCCAGGGGCUCAGCCCUUGUUAGUCCUCUCACAUGGCUUUGGUUGUGACAAGUCUGUUUGGCACAAGGUGAUUUCUAACUUGAGAGAUUCAGAAAUUCAUAGUGGUAUUCUUACGUAUGAUCUUGCCUUUUCGGGAAAAGUUGGUAAGGAUUAUUACCACAAAUAUUCAGAUAGAUACCAAACAAUCGAUGGAUAUGUAGAGGACAUUGUAUCUAUCCUCCAACACUACAGUAUCCAUACAUGCAUUUUUGUUGGCCAUUCAACUUCUGGACUGGUAGGCCUACAAGCUUCCAUUCGGCACAGAGACCUGUUUAGCCAACUCGUCCUUAUCGGCACUGCCCCCUGGUAGGUAACCAAUGCACAUUUUGUUCCUGGCCAUAUAAAUAGCAUUCCAUUGUGAAUACUGCCUGCUGAUCCUAUUUUUAUGCACACGAUGCAGCGCUCUAGACAAAUUCCCUGAUUACAUGAUAGGGUAUUCAAGGGAAAGGGCAGAUGAGAGGCUUAAAUUGAUGGAAGUGGAUUACAAGAAAUUUGUGGAAACAUAUAUUGAGAUUGCACUUCCAGGGAACACCAAAGACAGCGCCAAGCUGAAACUAAACACAUGUUGUCGAGGACGACCGGAGAUGUUGUUAAAUCAAUGGCGACGAUGGUAUUCAACACAGACCUGUGCCCCAUGCUGCCACUUGUGACAUCUGCAUGCACCAUCAUUAGCACAAGUGCCAAUACUGUUGCAUCAACAUUUGCUCAAAACUAUAUGAUGCAGCAGAUGAAGAAUGCUAGAAUCACACUAGUAGAGGUCAAGACCAAGGGCCACCUACCACAUCUUACCGCCGGAAAGAUGGUUGCGAAGCACAUCUCAGAUGUCAUUCAUGAGUGGUAAGCCUUUCAUCCCAUUGUUUUUAUAUAAGAACAUUAAUAGCUACUCAUACUUGCAAAAACACAAUCCUUGCUUUUUCCAGUUUGGUAUCCCUACAUUGCUAUUCAUACAUGCAAAAACACAAUCCUUGCUUUUUCCUAUAUGGUCUGACAAAAACACUAUAUGCAUGUGCUUCCUUCUCACAUACAGGAUAGCAAGAACUGAGCCAUUAACUUCCAUACCUCCUAGCCUAUUGCCUUCGUAUGAUAGGCUGCGUGAAGAGAUUAGGGUACUUAAAGAAGAAAACAUGUUGCUGAAGAGAGAGAACGAAGCUCUGAAGAAGCCAGCGAUUGAUGAGACCACCAAACUGGCAACGGUGUCCCGGCCAGGUGGUGGAAGCCAUGAAUCAUCACCAGGCAGCGGAGGUUCUUGACCAAAUAAGCGCAUUGGAACUUGAUGGUUCUUCCUCCUAGUAUGAUUUGUGUCCUGUUUUCGCAUGUGUGUGUGCUCUGGCUGUGUGCGCGUGGGCGUGGUCUGGCUGUUAGCGCCUUGGUGUGCUUGUUGUGCAUGUUUCUGCUCUUUUUCUUUGAAUUAUGUACUUUUCUAACUCGAGAGCUAUGGAUCUAAAUCAUCAUAACUUAACGUUCAUUCAGAAGUUGUUGCUGUGUUUCUGCUCUUUGGUGGCGCGUUCUGCCUGUGCCGCUGGUUCUGUUUUUCUGGCUUCGGAGCUAUUGGUGUUACUGGUGUUAGCGUUGAACCUUUGCUUCAACAAAAUAGCAGGCCUGUAAUGGCCUCUUCUCUAAAAACAGAAGGAGAUGACUGCACUUGACCAGUACAUGAACGCGCAUGAUGCGGUUAACAAGGUAUGGCGUUUCAGGGGAAGGAGAGAAAAGUGUGGAGGACAACAACACCUGAGCUGAUAAGGCGGUGGAAGUUUCGGCGAAAUGAAUCAUUUACCUUACAUCUUUGCUUGUAACUGACUUCACCAUGAGGUCCAUCUUGAGUUUAGAUAGUCAUUUACCUCUUUAUUAUUUCUAACUAACUUCACCGGGUAGUUGUUUAGCUUUUAUUAUUACUUUGGCAUAGAUUAUUAAUUGCAGUACACCUUUAACUUUUUAUGCGGUAUGCAUAACCUACUUUCAUGUAAAGAAGCAAGCUCAUCUAUAUUUUAUUCCUCUACCAUUUAUCGAUGGUAAAAAUAAUUUUUUUUUGCCUCUUGUCAUGGUUCUUUCUGAAGCUACUCAAGCUUAUCAUUUGCCUUCCAGUUAGUCUCCUUAAAUCAUGGCAUAUCGCUGUUGAUUUUAUCUCCACGAAACAGUUCUACUAUAUGACAACUAGUGUAUAAUAAAUCCAAUCUAACAAGUACAUUACCUGGGUGAGCUUUGCCCCUCCACAAUCAGUUGGUACGUUUGGGAGUGAUAUCAAAGCAUUUAGUAUAUGUUCUGCAUGAACACUUCAAACAUUUUGAUUUUCGAAGUGAAUAUGAUUAUUAUUAUUACAUAAACUUUGAAAAAACAUACCAAUCCUUUCAAUCUCUAGAUAACUUGUGAUUUAUCAUUUUCUAAGAAAAAGAAGGUAGCAAUACCAGUUCGAAAACAGGUCUUGGCGGUACUACUACGUCGUUCUGCUCUUCCAUGAUGCCAGGCAUGCCCUUGCCAGUUGCCAUACAACUCUUCAUGAGGCCCUUGUUCUUCAUAGGACAGCUCUAUUAGGACUAGAAAGAAAAAGGAAAUUAAGUAAUCAGGACAAAUAAGAUUAUCAGGAAUGAGAAGGUAGAGUCAAACACAAGAGACAAGGUAGUACAACGGUAAUCAAAUAGUAUUAUGUGGAAACCACAAGUCAAUAUGACAUAUAUGUUCCAGCAUAUAGAUUAAAUGACAAGUUACAGAACAGAAAUAUUCUGCCUUCAUAGUUUAUCAAUUAAAAGGCUGCUUAACUAGAGUUCCUAAUGUAUCCUAUGCAUGGAAUCAAUCAUAUGGUGCACAACACUGGAGUUCCAAAAAUAGCCUAUGGAAUUAAUCAUAUAGUACCCGACAUGUUCAACAGUUCUGCGAAAAAGUGCAAUGGAAUAUGAGACGAACCACUUACAAAAGUAAUGAAGCAUGAUCAAUGCAGCCUAUUAUAUCUAGGAACAAAAAAAUUAUGAUGACGUAUUGAUCAUAACUACAAAUCCAUCCAUUAAUAGGUAUAAUGUAUAUGAGAAACAAAAUAUAAUAGAAAACACAGUGAAUUUUUUUAUUAUCUCAAGUUCUCAACAUGUAUAGAUCACCCAAAGGCAAAAGACAAACCUUGCAGGAUCAUUCUUGAGCACAGGAAAUGUGGGUGGCCAUGUCAUCAUAAAAGGAUAAAUCCGUUCUAAAGUUCGUUCAUCUUCUGUCACUUCAUACACCUUACGCAGCUCCCGGCGUUUAAUAUCCAAGUGAAGUGCAGACUGGCCUAUCUUGAAGAACACAAACUGGAGAUUAUCCCCUGUUUGGAAUGUGUCUAAAAGAGUAGGCUGCUCAUUAUCAGCCAUCCCCAAAGCAUCCAACAUCUCACGCAAGCAAAUUGUAUCCAAAAGCAACCAGUUUCUCAUGCCGCCACUGUUGCCCCCCGUGUGGAGCCAGAUGCGAAGCUGCAGUUUCUCAAGAUGUACAAGAUAAACCCCUGAAUCAUUGGCCCGUGAUAGCAUCAUAUCUUCACAAACAUACCGCUCCAUUCCUUCGGGGAGCGGAAUAGUGGAGAAGUUUGAAGUCGUCAAAUUCAAUGCAGCAAUGCUCGUGGAGUGCUCCAUAUAGAUCUUAUUGCCAGACAACAGAGGAUGUGGAUCCGGCCACGGAGAAGGGAGCACUGCCGCUGCUGAGGAACGCCAGUACCAAAGACCAUCUUGUAGCAUAUAUAUGUGCGCCUUGUAUUUUAUAGAAUAAUCUUUUCCCUCUAUGAGAUAACCAAUUGAGAACCAUAUGAAGGUCAGGUUCUUACCGUCACCUUCUUCCUUCAAGAGGAAGUGGGCACAAGUGGCUGCAGUGCCAUCAAAUUCUUCAUAUGGGGUGAUUGGCGGUGCAACAACGCCUCUCUCCGGGCACAGCGGCCAGUGCACUCCAAACAAGAUGCUCUUGUCUUGGAAGCCAUGGAGAAGGAUGGUGUCGUUCUGGCACUCACAAACGCAUGCAAGUUCUUCGUCAUAGGUCUCCAGACUGUAGUUCUCAGCCAGGCGGACAGCAGUGGCAAGCUCCAGGGGCUGAGGCAGCAUCGGGACAAAGCGCGGGCGGAGCAGGACUAGUGAGAGCUCAUCAGUUGACCUGGUGGAGACAUAGAAGCCGAGGAGACGGGGCGGGUGGAGGCUGCGGAAGCGGCGGAGAAAGGCCUUAUCGGAUACAAUGAAGAACCAGCGCUUGCAGACAAGGAUGGCGCGGAUGAGGGUGGUGGGCAGGCCGAGUCGGACAAUGAUCUCGAUGAGGAGGUCAUCGUCGUCGAGCACCCUGGAUACGGAGUCUGCUGCCUGCAACGGCGGGGAUUGGGAAUGCGUCUGCAUCUUGCCAUACACACAUGGUGUGUUGGGAUUGGGAUCGACCCUGAAAUUAGUGGCAUCGACAAUCAGAAUCAGUACAAUCAAAGUGAAGAUGAAUGGGAAGUAGCACGUACGUACGUGCAGGUUGAGUGCGUGAUAUCAAUGUGGGGAAUUUAAAGAAACCGAAUCUUACGUACCCCCCAGGAAUCUCAACAGGAUCCAUCUGCACCUUCCAACUCCUGCUCGCCACAAUCAGUCCGCUAGCACAAGAAGAAAAUGGAGGAUUUGAUUUCCUCAUCAAGAAAAGAAAAUGGAAGAGAAAAGAAAAUGGAGAAUUUAAAGAGUAGGCUGCUCACCUCGCCAAUUUGGGGGAGCCGUUCACUGGUGAUGCAGCAAACUCUUUGUUAAUCUCAAGGGUAAAUAAGACAGAGCCGAACUCCUUGUUAAUUUCCUGCAGGAUCAGAAAAGCUUUACUUCCCAAGAAACUGUUCCUCAAGACGCUACCGCACAUAGGUACAUAUAAGUACACAUAACUGCAGAAUCAAAUCAUUAGGCUCUUAAUUAGUCAACAUGAUGUACGCGUGGAAGUGAGAGUUCCGCCCACUCAAGGUUCGGUCUCUCAAGAAUUAGUUUGCAGAACCUCACAGGAUUUCGACAUAAGCAACAGAACCUUUAAUUUUUGCAUAGUUCAACACGAGCAACAGCAACCAUCAACAGUUACAUCACCAAGGUUGCAGCUUCACCAACCACCACAUGAGACAUACAUGCAUACAGAUCCCCCGAUUCCCCACCACAGAUCCGACGCUCAGAGAACCGCUAGAGGUAAAAACGCGAAAUUGUCUUCCACGGGAAGGGCUAGAGAGAAGUGCCCACGGCGGGAGAGAGGGAGGGGGAGAAGCAACCUUGGAGAGGUCGAGGAGAGUUUCACCGCGGACGAUUAGCCGGAUAGGGGGCGGGGGCGGAGAGGGAGCGCCGAAGGAGGCCGGCGGCGGAGGGAGACGGGGAGANNNNNNNNNNNNNNNNNNNNNNNNNNNNNNNNNNNNNNNNNNNNNNNNNNNNNNNNNNNNNNNNNNNNNNNNNNNNNNNNNNNNNNNNNNNNNNNNNNNNNNNNNNNNNNNNNNNNNNNNNNNNNNNNNNNNNNNNNNNNNNNNNNNNNNNNNNNNNNNNNNNNNNNNNNNNNNNNNNNNNNNNNNNNNNNNNNNNNNNNNNNNNNNNNNNNNNNNNNNNNNNNNNNNNNNNNNNNNNNNNNNNNNNNNNNNNGGUGCGGCUCGCUCGGGGAGAGAAGGAAGGUAGCCCCACGCCGAAACCUUUUUCUUCACUUCUGAUUGGCAAAAUCUGUGUAAUAAUGGGGCUUUUUUCCCAUGGUUCAACCCGAAAACCCAAGAUAGCUUCAAAAGAAAACCCGGAAACCUAAGAUUGUCAUGGCGCCGGCGCCGGCAGAUGAGGUUUUUUUUAAGCAACUCGCCGGCAGAUGAGGUGUGGCCAGACCUGACCAUGUGGGUGGCACAGCAAAGAGCCGGCCCGAUGGCUUCACCUCGUGAAUCGGCUUGGCAAGCCAACUAAAAGGGCUGACCGCAAGGCACCGUUCGCUUUGAAAAGGUCUAAACAAACUAAAAGGUCAAACUAUCCUAAAAGGCCUAAAUUUUCAGAUUAGAAUGGCCAAAACAGCCCUAAAAUACCUACAGAGACCGAACAGUAUUAAAAGGGUCGCGUCAGGCCAGCCUUAAGGCUUGGCUUUGGGGAUCGGUCUUGAUCCAUGGGGGGGCGAAGGCCAGCCUGGUCCUUUUAUUCGCGUGUCAUGCUAGGCCAAAAAUCAUUGCUCGUGGGCCGGCCUUACAAGCACUACCAAUAUGGUCAGGUUUGGGUGUGGUAGAGGCAUCGAAAGGGGCGACACAACCCAUUCCAGUGGUAGAGGAGUGUCGGAGUCGACAUCGCACGACAUCAAAGGGAGGUGGUUGUUCAUGCAAAGAAGGCCCUUUUGGGAGGUGCAUAGGGAAAUGGCUUGCUUCCUUACUUUUUAGGAAGUUUCAAAAACUCUUUGUUAGAUGGAGGAACUUUUAAAAACUUAAGAAGCAAAGGCUACAUGGUGUUAGUUACUGAAAAAAGCAAUUUUAAGGAGGUAUUAUAGGGUUUAUGGGAGGGCUGGAGAUACUCUUAACGAAGUGAUUAUUUUGUCAGAGAACGAAGUGAUUAAAUCAUUUCCAGUACAAUUUAAUUUGUUAUGCAGUAUGCAUAACCUAUAUCUUUUUUCCUCUACUAUCGAUGGUAAAACAUAAUGGUUUUUCUUGUAGUCUCUCACAUCACACAAUUAUACUACCUCGUUGUUAUUCUUUCUAAAACUACUCAAGCUUGCCAAUUGCCUUCCAGUUAGCCUCAUGGUGAAUCAUCAUCAUUAUUAUUACAUAAACUUUGAAAAACAAACUAAUCCCUUUCAAUCUCUAGAUAACUAUUUCAUGGUGAGUCCUUUUGAUCUACCAUUUUCUAAAGAAUGUAGCAAUAGUCCUGGCGGUACUACAACAUUGUUCUGCUCUUCCUUGAUGUCGGGUGCCCUUAUUCUUCAUAUUUAUAACGCCCUUAUUUUCACCAUCAUUCUGGCCAUACAACUCUUCACAACGUCCUUGUUCGCCGUAUGACAGUUCUCUUAGGACUAGAAAGAAAAAGAAAAUCAAAGAAUCAUGAGAAAGAAAAUUAUCAGGCAUGAGAAGGUAGAGUCAAAAACAAGAGAUAAGGAGAUAUGAUACAUAUGUUCCAGCAUAUAUUAUGUGGAAACCACAAGAGGAACCACAAGAAGGUACAACAGUACUCAAAUAUUAUAUGGAAACCACAAGUCAAUAUGAUACAUAUGUUCCAGCAUAGAGAUUAAAUGACAAGUUACAGAACAGAAAUAUCCUCGUUCAUAAUUUAUCAACUAAAAUGUUGCUUAACCAGAGUUCCUAUAUAUAUAGCCUAUGGAAUCAAUCAUAUGUUGCCCGACACUUGAGUUCCCAAAAUUGCCUAUAGUAUCAAUCAUAUAGUACGCGACACGUUCAGCAGUUCUAAGAAGCGGUGCAAUGGAAGAUGAGAUGAACCACUUAUAAAAGUAAUGUAGCAUGAUCAGUGCAGCCUAUUAUACCAUUAAUAGGUAUAAUGCAUAUGGGAAACAAAAUACUACUAGAAUGCACAUUGCAAAUGUUGGUUAUCUCAAGUUCUCAACACGUAUAUAUAGAUCACCCAAAGGCUAAAGACAAACCUUGCAGGAUCAUUCUUGAGCACAGGGAAUGUGGGUGGCCAUGUCAUCAUAAAAGGAUAAAUUUGUUCUAAAGUUCGGUCAUCUUCUGUCACCUCACACACUUUACGCAGCUCCCUGUGUUUAAUAUCCAAGUAAAGUGCACAUUGGCCCAUCUUCAAGAACACAAACCGGAGAUUAUCCCCCGUUUCGCUUGUGUUUAAAAGAGUAGGCUGCUCACCACCUGCCAUCCCCAAAGCACCCAACAUGUCACGCAAGCAAAUGUUAUCCAAAAGCAACCAGUUUCUCAUGCUGCCACUGUUGUCCCCCCUAUGGAUCCAGAUGCGAAGCUGCAGUUUCUCAAGAUGUAUGAGAUAAACCCCUCAAUCAUUGGCCCUUGACAUCAUCAUAUCUUCACAAACAUACCGCUCCAUUCCUUCAGGGAGCGAAAUAGAGGAGAAGUUUGAGGUUGUCAAAUGCAAUGCAGCAAUGCUCGUGGAGUGCUCCAUAUAGAUCUUAUUGCCAGACAGCAAAGGGUUUAGAUCCGAUCGCUGAGAAGGGAGCACUGCUGCUGCUGAGGAAUGCCAGUGCCAAAGACCAUGUUGCAGCAUAUAUAUGUGCGCCUUGUAUUUUAUAGAAUAUUUUUUUCUUCUCUUUGAGACAGCCCAUUGACAACCAUAUGAAGGUCAGGCUCUUACUGUCACCUUCUUCCUUGAAGACGAAGUGGGCGCAAGUGCCUGCGGUGCCAUCAAAUUGGUCAUAUGGGGUCACCGGCGGUGCAACAACACCUCUGUCCGGGCACAAUGGCCAGUGCAGUCCAAACAAGAUUCCCUUGCCUUGGAAGCCAUGGAGCAGGAUGGUGUCGUUAUGGCAGUCAUACAUGCAUGCCCAUUCUUGGUCAUACACGUCCAGACUGUAGUUCUCGGCUAGGCGGACAGCAGUGGCGAGCUCCGGGGGCUGAGGCAGCAUCGGGACAAAGCGUGGGCGGAGCAGGACCGGUGAGAGCUCGUCAGUUGACCUGGUGGAGACAUAGAAGCCGAGGAGACGGGGCGGGUGGAGGCUGCGGAAGCGGCGGAGAAAGGCCUUUUGGGAGAUGAUGUCGAACCAGCGCUUGCAGACAAGGAUGGUUCGGAUGAGGGUGGUAGGCAGGCCCAAUCAGACAAUGAUCUCGAUGAGGAGGUCGUCGUCGUCGAGCACCCUAGAUACGGAGUCUGCCGCCUGCAACGGUGGUAUUGAAUUCAUGCUCCAGCCAACUCAUCCAAAAGUCUGAACUGAUGGAGGGAGGUGGGCAAUAUAUUUCAACACUCUCCCUCACGUCUAGGCCAUUUUAGUCCUUAGACGUGUGCUCAAUGUAGGCUGCAGAAUCGUUUUUAUAAUACUGCAUUGGCAAGGUCUUAAAUUCAAGACCUCUUGGCUCUGAUACCAUAUUGAAUUCAUGCUCCAGCCAACUCAUCCAAAACUCCGAGCUGAUGGAGGGAGGUGGGCAAUAUAUUUCAACAGGCGACACCGGGGAUUGGCAAUACCUCUGCAUCUCGCCAUCCAUACAUGAUGUCUUCUGAAAGGGAUAGACCCUGAAAUUAGCAGCAUCUAUAAUCAGUACUGUGCGAUCGAUGUGGACAUGCUGAUUGCGUGAAAUCAAUAGGAGGAACUUAAAGAAACUGAAUCUCACGUACCCUCCCGGAAUCUCAGCAGGAUCCAUCUACACAAGAAGAAAAUGGAGGAUUUAAUUUGGGUUCGUCGGCAAGAAAAGAAAAUGGGAGUAGUGAGCAGGGAGAAAGGGGCUCACCUCGCCAAUCGGGGGAGCCGUUCACUGAUCAGGUGCCGUUGUGGAGGCGCGCGGGUCAGCAGCCAACUCCUUGUUAUUCUCAACCGUAAACAAAACAGAGCCAAUCCCGCACAUUCUUCAGGUACAUAAGAGGAAGUUUUCCUAAAAUGUUGCAUCUGUUAUAAUUUUUCUUCUUCCUGUUCCUGAAAUGUUGCAUCUGUUAUCAUAAGGGAUCCAUACACGUCGUGGUUUGUCAUGGUGGAAGACAGUCUUCAUGUAGCUCCAGGCCACACAUUGAGCUUUGAGCUGGUUUUCCUAAAACGCGUUUGCGCAAAAACGUCUCGGAGCCAUUUUUUCUAAAAACACAAUUUCUGGGUAUUACGAGAAUCAAAUUUAAUUUCCUUAACCAAGAAUUAAUUAGAUAAGCCAAAACAAAGUUUUAGUUGGUUAGAAUCUAAAACACACUUAUAGCUAACCGAUACUUUAAAAGCUCGCUAACCAAUCAACCCCUAAGAUAGCUUUAAAAGAAACCACGGAAACAUAAGAUUGUCAUGGCACUGGCGUCGGCAGAGGAGGGUUUUUUAAGCAACUCGCCGGCAGAUGAGGUGUGGCCAGACCAAGCCAUAUGGGUGGCACGACAAAGGGCCGGCCUGAUUCCUUCACCUCGUGAAUUGGCUUGGCAAGCCAACUAAAAAGGGCCGACCCCGCAAGGCACCACUCGCUUUGAAAAUGUCCAAACUAACUAACUAAAAUGGUCAAAAUAUCCCUAAAAGGCCUAAAUUUUUAGAUUAGAAUGGCCAAAACAGCCCUCAAAUACCUAGAGAGACCGAACAAUACUAUAAGGGCCAUGUUGGGCCGGCCAUAAGGCUUGGGUUUGGGGAUCGGUCUUGAUCCAUGGAGGGCCGAAGGCCAGCCUGGCCCUUUUAUUCGCGUGUCGCGCUAGGCCAAAAAUCAUUGCUCGUGGGCCGGCCUUACAUGCACUACCAAUAUGUCCAGGUUUGGGUGUGGUAGGGGCAUCGAAAGGGACGACAUGACCCCAUUCCCAUGGUAGAUGAGCGUCGGAGUCGACAUCGCACGCAUCAAAGGGAGAUGGUUGUUCAUGCAAAGAAGGCCCUUUGGGGAGGUGGAUAGGGAAGUGGCUUGUUUCUUUACUUUUUAGGAAGUUUCAAAAACUUUUUUGUUAGAUGGAGGAGCUUUUAAAAACUUAAGAAGGAAAGGCUACAUGGUGUUAGUUACCUAAAAAAGCAAUUUUAAGGAGGUAUUAUAGGGUUUAUGGGAGGGCUGGAGAUACUCUCAACGAAGUGAUUAUUUUGUCGGAGAACAAAGUGAUGAAAUCAUUUCCAGUACACUUUAAUUCGUUACGCGGUAUGCAUAACCUAUAUCUUUUUUUCAUCUACCGUUUAUCGAUGGUAAAACAUAAUGGUUUUUCUUGUAGUCUCUCACAUCAACACUAGUGUAGAACCGGGCAAUAGCACCAGUUCGUAAGGGGCUUUAGUGCCGGUUCGAUAACCGGCACUAAAUUGUAGGCACUAAAGCCCCCCCCCCCCUUUAGUACCGGUUCAGCAUGAACCGGUGCUAAAGGGCAAACACGUGGCACGAGCCAGCUCCGUGGGCGCGUAGGACAUUAGUACCGGUUGGUAACACCAACCGAUACUAAAUGUUUUGGUGUGUUUUGGUUUUAUUUUUUAUUUUUACUUUAAUUUUGUGUUUUCAAUUUAAUUUAGUGAUUGUUUUACAUUAUAAUGAGUUGUUAAAUCAUUAGGUGAUUAGUUUGACUGGAUGCGUGUGGAUCCUAGCUAAGUCAUCAAGUAUAUGUCAUAUCCAUAUUAUAUAUACUUGAUCACCUACUUAAGUGAUCGAGGUAAUAUGGAUAUGGCAUAUACUUGAUCACUUAGCUAGAAUCCAUCCAGUUGAAACUAAUAUGCAAUUUCUUUCAUAAAUUAUAUAAUAACUCAUCAUCAUCAUCAUCAUAUUAAUUAAUAUAAAAACUCUUGCAUCAUAUAUAUCAUCACCAACGGUUUUCAUAGCAAAGAUAUCAUCGAGUUCAACAUGGUAAUGAUAUUAUAAGCGUUCAUAACAUCACAAAAGCAAAUCACUCGUUGAGAUUAAGUUCAGGACGAAGAACACGGACAUGAGAGGACAAGUACUAAGAGCAUGAACUAGCUAAUUAAUCACUCCUGCUGCUCUCUCUCAGGUAAAAUAGCAUAGAACAUGUAUAGCUUUGCUGAUUUAUCAUAUUGGAGCAUGCAGAUGAACCUGUCUCCUAAUCGUGGGUUGCACUUCUGAUUGCUGCCCCCUAGUACUUCUCUGUGAUCGUUCACAGUUUUGCUCCAGUCUUUUACUAUUAAGCAUUCCUCGCUAUUAGAAAUCUUGAAUGCACUAAAGUGCAUUGUAGGAUAUCUUGUCCGUAAGCUAACAAUAUUCAUGAUACCUUUAGUCUCGAUCCGAUCAGGCACAACAUUCAUCGGGAGUCCCUGUUGAAGAACAUCGUAUAUAGUAACAUACUUAGCAAUGAAGUUUAGCUUAAAAAAAUAAUGCAUGCAAAAGAUGCACUUAGGAGAAAUAGUAGAAAUCUUACCGUCUUUCCUAAAUAUAUGUGACCGUAGUUCAGUACGAACACUAUUGGUCGCACGUUUUGAGUACUAACAUUUCUAAGUGCAGGAAAGAAAUUUGUCUUGACAGCAUCAAGAUCCUCAAGCCAUAAAACAUAAUGACUUGUCUCCUCGCAGUUUAGUUUAGCCCCGGGACAGUGGACGGUCCUGUCUACCAAGCGCCGGACAUGUUUGCUUGAUUGGAAGUAAGCUGUCAAUAUAAAUUGAGAUCUAUUAAUUAUUCAACUGGUUCAAAUAAUCUCAUAUCGAAGACAUAAAUAUGGUUGAGAAACUCACAUAAUGGUAGAACUGGAGGCGUCUGCACAUCGACCCAGAUGUCUCUAUUACCUUCAAUAUCAUUUUCCGGACGAAUAUCAAAGGUGAUAAUCAUAUCAGGCUCAAAUGCAUAAGCCUUGCAUAGUGCUUGCCAAGUUUUGCAUUCAAAAUAGGUGUAUGUGUCUGUAUUGUAUAAUUUGACGUUGAAGGUAUAACCAUGCUCGGUUUUCAAGUAAACUCUUUUUACCUCCAUAGUUUCAUUAGGACUGAAACCUAUCUUAUCCAAGACAAAAAUUCUUGCAUGGCAGGGGAUACGCUAGUAGAAUAGUGAAAAAUUAAGAUUAAAAGGUGAAGCAAAUGAAGCAUAAGUCAUGCUUAAUUACGAAAAAAGACUUGUCGUUGUGACGUACUGUAUCCACUUCGAAGUUCUCAUCCAGCUUGAUGCUGAAGCGUCUAUCAUCAACUAGAAAAUUUCUACCGCACAGGCCGCGCUGGUCUUCGCAGUAUUCACACAUAAUGAAAUCGUAUUCGUCGUCAGACGACAUUUAUAUGUUCAUAGGUGAAACAUUAAACACUUAUUAGUUCUAUUAGUUCAACUAAUUCUGUUAAUUCAACUAGUUCAACUAAGCACUUAGGAAGAAUAUACCUAAUUNNNNNNNNNNNNNNNNNNNNNNNNNNNNNNNNNNNNNNNNNNNNNNNNNNNNNNNNNNNNNNNNNNNNNNNNNNNNNNNNNNNNNNNNNNNNNNNNNNNNNNNNNNNNNNNNNNNNNNNNNNNNNNNNNNNNNNNNNNNNNNNNNNNNNNNNNNNNNNNNNNNNNNNNNNNNNNNNNNNNNNNNNNNNNNNNNNNNNNNNNNNNNNNNNNNNNNNNNNNNNNNNNNNNNNNNNNNNNNNNNNNNNNNNNNNNNNNNNNNNNNNNNNNNNNNNNNNNNNNNNNNNNNNNNNNNNNNNNNNNNNNNNNNNNNNNNNNNNNNNNNNNNNNNNNNNNNNNNNNNNNNNNNNNNNNNNNNNNNNNNNNNNNNNNNNNNNNNNNNNNNNNNNNNNNNNNNNNNNNNNNNNNNNNNNNNNNNNNNNNNNNNNNNNNNNNNNNNNNNNNNNNNNNNNNNNNNNNNNNNNNNNNNNNNNNNNNNNNNNNNNNNNNNNNNNNNNNNNNNNNNNNNNNNNNNNNNNNNNNNNNNNNNNNNNNNNNNNNNNNNNNNNNNNNNNNNNNNNNNNNNNNNNNNNNNNNNNNNNNNNNNNNNNNNNNNNNNNNNNNNNNNNNNNNNNNNNNNNNNNNNNNNNNNNNNNNNNNNNNNNNNNNNNNNNNNNNNNNNNNNNNNNNNNNNNNNNNNNNNNNNNNNNNNNNNNNNNNNNNNNNNNNNNNNNNNNNNNNNNNNNNNNNNNNNNNNNNNNNNNNNNNNNNNNNNNNNNNNNNNNNNNNNNNNNNNNNNNNNNNNNNNNNNNNNNNNNNNNNNNNNNNNNNNNNNNNNNNNNNNNNNNNNNNNNNNNNNNNNNNNNNNNNNNNNNNNNNNNNNNNNNNNNNNNNNNNNNNNNNNNNNNNNNNNNNNNNNNACAGGGGGACGGGCGCGGCGGGCGAGAGGCGGCGGCGACGUACGGGGACGGCGGGGGCGACGGGCCGGGCGGUGACGGCGACGACGGGUGGCGGGGGCGACGGCGGUGACGGCGACGACGGGUGGCGUGGGCGACAGCGGUGACGGCGACGACGGGCGGCGGGGGCGGCGAGGACGGCGCGCGAUGGGGCGACGGGCGCAGCGAAGAAGUUUGGAUCGAGAAGAACUACUGGUGGGCGAAACUGAUUUUUUCGUAGGUUCCAUAUAUAUAGGAGGGGUCUUUAGUGCCGGUUGGAGCCACCAACCGGUACUAAAGGCCAAUUUUCGCCAGGCCAAGGGGCAGGAAACGGCCCCUUGAGUACCGGUUCGUGCCACGAACCGGUACUAAAGACCCCCCCCCUUUAGUAUCGGUUGGAGCUACCAACCGGUACUAAAGGUUGUGCGUUGCCAUCGGCGGUGCACAAUGUUUAGUCCUACCUCGCCGAGCGAAGGGCAGCCGCACUAGUUUAUAAACCCAGCCGCGGCUGCUCCUUCGAGCUUCUCUAUAUAGCAGGCUUUUGGGCCUAGUUAACUAGGGCGCGCUGCCCUGUGAGCCUGCUAGCCCUUCUGGGCCUGCAUUUGCACACCCUAGGUCUGGCAGGCCCACUUGUUAGCGCGCCAACAAAUUUUUUAUAUAGUUUUUUCUUUUCUGCAUUAUUUAUUUUCUUCUAUUUAUUUUUGAGUAGUUUUUUAUAUAGUUUUUUUCUUUCCUGCAUUAUUUAUUUUCUUCUAUUUUUUUUGAGUAAUUUUUUGUAUAGUUUUUUCUUUUCUGCAUUAUUUAUUUUCUUCUAUUUAUUUUUGAGUAAUUUUUUUGUAUAGUUUUUUUAUUUUCUGCAUUAUUUAUUUUCUUCUAUUUAUUUUUGAGUAAUUUUUUUGUAUAGUUAUUUUAUUUUCUUCUAUUUAUCUUCUCUACUCUUUCGCGCAUGCUAUGCGGGUGAUAUGAUGAUACCAUGCCAAGUUUCAAGAUUUUCAGGAUUCAUUUUGUAGUGAUUUUCAAUUUCACGGUCAUUUAGCUCUCUAAACAAUUAGGUAAAUGACCGAAAAACAAAAAAUGAUGUCAGAACAUGUUGGAAAUUGAUGACGUCGCUUUGAAUGCUGCAUACUGAACACAAAAGAAGUCCGGAGUUCAAAUAAGUUUAAAAAAUAUUGAAGUGGCCGUGUAACAGAUGAGUUCUCGCCCGAAACCCUGAUACUCCGAAAGAGUUUGUCCAGUUUGUACACGAAGUGCGUCCAGUUUUUGCAGUGACCCUCNNNNNNNNNNNNNNNNNNNNNNNNNNNNNNNNNNNNNNNNNNNNNNNNNNNNNNNNNNNNNNNNNNNNNNNNNNNNNNNNNNNNNNNNNNNNNNNNNNNNNNNNNNNNNNNNNNNNNNNNNNNNNNNNNNNNNNNNNNNNNNNNNNNUACUGAACACAAAAGAAGUCCGGAGUUCAAAUAAGUUUAAAAAAUAUUGAAGUGGCCGUGUAACAGAUGAGUUCUCGCCCGAAACCCUGAUACUCCGAAAGAGUUUGUCCAGUUUGUACACGAAGUGCGUCCAGUUUUUGCCGUGACCCUCUCUACUCUUUCACGCAUGCUAUGCGGGUGAUAUGAUGAUACCAUGCCAAGUUUCAACAUUUUCAGGAUUCAUUUUGUAGUGAUUUUCAAUUUCACGGUCAUUUAGCUCUCUAAACAAUUAGGUAAAUGACCGAAAAACAACAAAUGAUGUCAGAACAUGUUAGAAAUUGAUGACAUCGCUUUGAAUGCUGCAUAGUGAACACAAAAGAAGUCCAGAGUUUAAAUAAGUUUAAAAAACAUUGAAGUGGCCGUGUAACAGAUGAGUUCUCGUUCGAAACCCUGAUACUCCGAAAGAGUUUGUCCAAUUUGUACACGAAGUGCGUCCAGUUUUUGCCGUGACCCUCUCUACUCUUUUGCGCAUGCUAUGCGGGUGAUAUGAUGAUACCAUGCCAAGUUUUCAACAUUUUCAGGAUUCAUUUUGUAGUGAUUUUCAAUUUCACGGCCAUUUAGCUCUCUAAACAAUUAGAUAAAUGACCGAAAAACAACAAAUGAUGUCAGAACUUGUUGGAAAUUGAUAACGACGCUUUGAAUGCUGCAUACUGAACACAAAAAAAGUCCGGAGUUCAAAUAAUUUAUUAAAAAUAAAAAAGAGGUGCAAUGCUGGUUAAUUUGCUUCAAGCCAUUCGGAAUAGUGUAGACUGCACUGCACAUAGCUCAGUGCAAUCUAUGCUAUUCCGCAAGGCUUGAAGCUAAUCAAUAUGCAGGUGAGCAUUGCAACUCUUCGUCAUUGUCUGUGCACUCACGGCUUAUAAACUGCUCAUAUUGCCUCUCUCUUGGCGAGGUGGGACUAAAAAUCAGCUUACAAAGAAACUCUAGUACCGGUUCAUGGCAUGAACCGGUACUAAAGGUCUUCGUGGGGCCCCAGCCUAACCAUAGCCUGACACAGCCUCAUUAGUACUGGUUCGUGGCAUGAACCAGUACUAAAGGUUGCCCACGAACCGGUACUAAUGAUGCCUGCCCGCCUAGCCGUUGGAACCGGCACUAAUGGUCACAUUAGUGCCGGCUCAAAUUCAAACCGGCACUAAUGUGCUUCACAUUUGACCCUUUUUCUACUAGUGCUACCUCGUUGUUAUUCUUUCUGAAGCUACUCAAGCUUGCCGUUUGCCUUCCAGUUAGCCUCAUGGUGAAUCAUCAUCAUUAUUAUUACGUAAACUUUGAAAAACGAACUAAUCCCUUUCAAUCUCUAGAUAACUAUUUCAUGGCGAGUCCUUUUGAUUUACCAUUUUCUAAAGAAGGUAGCAAUAACAGGUCGAAAACAGGUCCUGGCGGUACUACAACAUUGUUCAUAACGCCCUUAUUCUUCCUUGAUGUCGGGUGCCCUUAUUUUCAACAUCAUUCUGGCCAUACAACUCUUCAUAAUGUCCUUGUUCUUCGGAUGACAGUUCUCUUAGGACUAGAAAGAAAAAGGAAAUUAAAGAAUCAGGAGAAAGAAGAUUAUCAGGCAUGAGAAGGUAGAGUCAAAAACAAGAGAUAAGGAGAUAUGGUAAAUACUCACUCCAUCCGGAAAUACUUGUCAUCAAAAUAGAAGGGGGUGUAUCUAGACGUAUUUUAGUUCUAGAUACAUCUCUUUUUAUCUAUUUUGAUGAUAAUUAUUUUCGGACAGAGGGAGUAUGUUCUAGCAUAUAUUAUGUGGAAACCACAAGAGGAACCACAAGAAGGUACAACAGUAUUAAAAUAUUAUGUGGAAACCACAAGAAGGUACAACAGUACUAAAAUAUUAUGUGGAAACCACAAGUCAAUAUGAUACAUAUGUUCCAGCAUAGAGGUUAAAUGACAAGUUAAAGAACAGAAAUAUCUGCCUUCAUAAUUUAUAAUUGAAAACGUUGCUUAACCAGAGUUCCUAUAUAUAUAGCCUAUGGAAUCAAACAUAUGUUACCCGACACUGGAGUUUCCAAAAUUGCCUACAGAAUCAAUCAUAUAGUACGCGACACGUUCAACAGUUCUAAGAAGCAGUGCAAUGAAAGAUGAGAUGAACCACUUAUAAAAGUAAUGUAGCAUGAUCAGUGCAGCCUAUUAUAUCGAGGAACAACUUUUUUAAGAUGAUGUAUUGAUAAUAACAACAAACCCCAUCCGUUAAUACGUAUAAUGCAUAUGGAAAACAAAAUACUACUAGAAUGCACAUUGCAAAUAUUGGUUAUCUCAAGUUCACAACAGGUAUAUAUAGAUCACCCAAAGGCUAAAGACAAACCUUGCAGGAUCAAUCUUGAGAACAGGGAAUGUGGGUGGCCAUGUCAUCAUAAAAGGAUAAAUCCGUUCUAAAGUUCGGUCAUCUUCUGUCACCUCGUACACCUUACGCAGCUCCCUGUGUUUAAUAUCCAAGUAAAGUGCACAUUGGCCCAUCUUCAAGAACACAAACCGGAGAUUAUCCCCCGUUUCGCUUGUGUUUAAAAGAGUAGGCUGCUCACCACUGCCAUCCCCAGAGCAUCGAACAUCUCACACAAGCAAAUGUUCUCCAAAAGCAACCAGUUUCUCAUGCUGCCGCUGUUGUCCCCCCUAUGGAGCCAGAUGCGAAGCUGCAGUUUCUCAAGAUGUAUGAGAUAAAUCCGAAUCACUGGCCCGUGACAUCAUCAUAUCUUCACAAACGUACCGCUCGAUUCCUUCCGGGAGCGGAAUAGAGGAGAAGUUUGAGGUUGUCAAAUUCAAUGCAGCAAUGCUCGUGGAGUGCUCCAUAUAGAUCUUAUUGCCAGACAGCAAAGGAUUUAGAUCCGAUCGCGGAGAAGGAAGCACAGCCGCUGCUGAGGAACGCCAGUGCCAAAGACCAUCUUGCAGCGCAUAUAUGUUCGCCUUGUAUUUUAUAGAAUAUUUUUUCCCUCUAUGAGAUAAGCCAUUGACAACCAUAUGAAGGUGAGGCUCUUCCCGUCACCUUCUUCCUUCAAGAGGAAGUUGGCGCAAGUGCCUGCAGCUGAAGCGCCGUCAAAUUGGUCAUAUGGGGCCAUCGGCGGUUCAACAACGCCUCUCUCUGGGCAGAGUGGCCAGUGCACUCCCCACAAGAUUUUCUUGCCUUGGAAGCCAUGGAGAAGGAUGGUAUCGUUCUGGCGGUCAAGAAUGCAUGCAAGUUCACAGAGCAAUAGCAACCAUCAACAGUUACUCCCUCCGUUCGGAAUUACUUGUCUCGACAAGUAAUUCCGAACGGAGGGAGUACAUCACCAAGGUUGCAACUUUACCAACCACCACAUGAGACAUACAUACAGACACAUACAUACAUGCAGAUCCCCCGAUUUCCCACCACCGAUCCAACGCUUAAAGAGGUAAAAACGCGAAAUUGUCCUCCACGGAAAGGGAUAGAUAGAAGCGCCCACGGCGGGAGAGGAAGGGAGGAGAAGCAACCUUGGAGAGGUCGAGGAGAGCGUUCUGGCGGCAGCUCCUCGCCGCAGAGGUCGAUCNNNNNNNNNNNNNNNNNNNNNNNNNNNNNNNNNNNNNNNNNNNNNNNNNNNNNNNNNNNNNNNNNNNNNNNNNNNNNNNNNNNNNNNNNNNNNNNNNNNNNNNNNNNNNNNNNNNNNNNNNNNNNNNNNNNNNNNNNNNNNNNNNNNNNNNNNNNNNNNNNNNNNNNNNNNNNNNNNNNNNNNNNNNNNNNNNNNNNNNNNNNNNNNNNNNNNNNNNNNNNNNNNNNNNNNNNNNNNNNNNNNNNNNNNNNNNNNNNNNNNNNNNNNNNNNNNNNNNNNNNNNNNNNNNNNNNNNNNNNNNNNNNNNNNNNNNNNNNNNNNNNNNNNNNNNGAGGGAGACGGGGAGAGAAGAUGCUCUGUUUUUUCUGUGCGGUUCGCUCGGGCCCCAGGCCGAAAUGCUUUUCUUUUUCUUUUUUUAGUGGCGAAACGGUGUGAUAUAAUGGUGCCAUUUGUUUUUUACGGAUGAAAAUAAAAAAUCCAUAGUUUGAAGGCACGAUUUCUUUUAACACAGUAUACAAUCAAAGCCGCUCACAUGCAGUGACUUCGUAAAUCUCAAGAUUGAUAUGCCGGUUCAGUCUCUCAGAAGUACUCAUAGGGGUAGGAUGUGUGUGUGUGUGUUCAUAGGGGUGAGUGUAUGCGCGUAUGUAUGAGCGCUUGCGUUUGUAUUGUGUUUAAAAAAAUGAACAUACGCACGCACACAAUCAUGAUGUUUUUUAACAUUGUACAAUCAGAGUCGUUCACAUACAUGAGCAUACACCCAUCUCAAUGAACACACGCACGCACACGGCACACAUUACCCCUAUGAGCUCAUCUGAGAGACCGAGCCGACACAUCAUUUUAAGAUUGACGAAGUCGCCACAGACGCCUUCGUAGUCGACUAAAACGUCUCCUCUCACUGAACGUACAUCGCCAGAAGGUCUGAAUAAAUCCAAAAAAAUGCAAGCACCAAUGUCACGUUUGGGAUUUGAACUCUGGUGGAAUGGGGAUACCACUGUCGUGGGACAUGCAUCGGCUCACGGGACUCAAGGCGUCGUCGUCUCCCAUACCCUACUCUUCCUUGCUGGAGUCCGGAGCCUUGAUGGUGCCGGUCGAUGUGAGGUCUACGACAGAUCCGUCGUGGUCGGAGGCCACAUCCACCACGACGCGGGUGCGGCGCUCGGGGUUGUAGGCCAUCUGUUGAGGCGCCGGAGAGUGCAACUCUGCCUCGCUGACAUCUGUUGCGAGGGCUGCCGCGGCCACCCGCGCCCUCUGCCUCGCACGGCGGGUAUGCUGCAUCAUACACUCAGUGGACGGGCCAUGGAUGGCCUUGUCGUUCACGCGUCAAAAAGGGACCGCGCGUCAGCCACAGCGUUUGGACGCCAAACGGGGCGUACCGCCUCCGGCGAGGCAGCGGUGACCUACCUCGCGCUAGAUCCAUGCUCCAUUUGGGGCGGACAUGAUGGUUCGCCAUGGAUCAAGUCUGACCGCUAUCGGGCAUUCUCCUCGCGGGCGUGGUGGAGCGCAAUACGGACGGCCAACUCCUCCUUGGGGCUGGCUAGGAUGAGGUUCGAGUUUAUGGACCGGCUGACGGAGGACUCGAAUCCGCUGCCCGCGGAGAAGGCCGAAGAUCGCCGGGCGGGAGCUUGGGUGGCAGAGUAAAGUGGAGUGGAGUGGCUAGGGUUUGGUCCGGAGAGUGGAUGAGGACAAUUCUAUGUGUGGUUGAGUGAGCCGACUCCGACAUGGCGGACUAGCCCGGGCAUCCCCAUAUCCUCCUCAUAUUUGGGCUGAAUAUGAGAAGUGUCGAUCAGCCCGACGUUUGAUGCCGAUUUGAAUCGUCCGUCGAGGUGAUAUUUUUUGAUCGGUCACUAAUCGAGCGAUCCGUCUGAGCGAUUGACGGAGUAUACAAGUGGAUUAACUACUUAUGGCAGUACCACAUUACUCUCUUCGUUUCUCAAAUUAAACUGCCAAGACAUCAUAUAUUUGGAAACAUGGCAAUAAAUGAUUGUACUGUGUUCAAGAAAAAAUGAUCACCUCGUAGUCUCGUAGGGCAGCCUUCACGAGACAAAGCAUCGGACAGAACAUGCCCAUACCGAAGUGCUCUUAUGAAUCGUCAUGUUGGAAACUUGUCCUAAUGCGGUGCGGAGGACUUAGCCCAUAUGGUGUUUAAGUGUGUAAAGGUGCAAGCAGUUUGGAAAGCUUUGGGAAUCGUAGCACCUAUUAACUUUGCUUCAUUGACUGAUCGAGCAGGUUCAGCAGUCUUGGAGUUCAUUUUAUGUGAUGAUUCUUAUCGACGACAAUAUUCUGAAUUGGUCGAGCUACCAGAGCUCAUAUCAAUAGUUUGUUGGUUCUUAUGGUGGCAAAGAAGACAAUUCGUGCGAGGGGAAGAAAUAUUGACUCCAGAACAAACAGCGCCAGCGGUGGUUGCCCUAGCGAUUAAUUUUGUGCGCGGAGCACAAGCUAAAUCUAAACCCAAGAUCAACAGGUGGCCAACAUUCCUAGCAGGACAACUUGUCCUUAAUGUCGAUGCUUCAUUCACAGAGGGUGAUUAUGCAGGGUCUUGUGGUGCUGUCAUCCGUGAUCACCGGGGAUCUUUCAUGUCGGCGUCCACGGCGAGAUUAGAACAUAUAGCUGAUGUGUUCACGGCAGAAGCGGCAAGAGAUACGGGAUGCAAUAACUUGGUGGUGAGAUCGGAUAAUAUCAUGGUGGUGGAUGCACUUAAAUUCAAUGAAGGUUACUCUAUGGUGGCAGCGCCGGUUCUUGAUGAAUGUCAUAGUUAUCUAGUAGAUUUCAGGAGGUUUACUAUUGAGCAUUGUAUUAGAGAGUCAAAUUAUGUAGCUCAUGAGCUGGCUAAAUGGGGACGUGCUAAUAAUCCAUCUCGUUGGAUUGAUGACCCGCCUGAUUUCAUUGUGAGUCUGCUAGCAGACGAUAUAUCCGUCCUUUUAUAAAGUAAGUUUUCCCUAAAAAAAGCAUCGGACAGAACAAUCCUCCAAGGAACCGUCGACCAUACGAAACACAGAACCCCAAUCGUGCGCCGUACCCACCUAUAUAUAUAACAAGAGUAAAAUGCAUCAUAAGUCCUAAAACUAUCGGAGGUGUGUCAGUUUAGUCCUAUAACUUUGAAACUGCACUUUUGGGUCCUAAAACUAUCAGAGGUGUGUCAGUUUAGUCCUAUAACUUUGAAACUGCACUUUUGGGUUCUAAAACUAUCAAAGGUGUGUCAGUUUAGUCCUAUAACUUUGAAACAGUAGUUGUGGGUCCCAAAACUAUGUAAGUUUCUUCCUCUUAGGUCCUAAGCUUGCAUGGUUAGCAUUGACCCACCAACGAGUCACUUGGAAAUGCUUGGAUUGUAGCCACGUUGACCUGACCCAAUGGGCCCACCAGGUAAAUAUGCAAAAAAAAACUAGAGCGUUGUCUCGCCUCGUUCUCACGCGCUCGUCUUCUCCCACGCACGGAAUGCUCAGAGGCGACGGUACAGAGGCCAUCAGUGGAAUGAUGGUUUGAGCUCCAGCGAGGAGAGUAGACCGGUCAUCUCAGCCUCCCCCAACAGCAGCAGAACGACAUGUCGCACAACGUCCAAUUGCUACCCACCUAUGGCUACUGCUAGGGUUGUGUCACUCUCGACGACCUCUGCGCCAGCUUUGCAGUUUCCGCGCACUCCUCUGUGUCGCCCGACAGCUCACCACCUAUGACCAUGCUCGUGCCCAAACAACAGCCUGCACGGCCAACUCUACGGCAAGGGUGUCGGGGCAACGACGAUAUCAUCAAACAGAGAGAGAGAGAGAGGUGGGAUGGCAUACUCCAUCCCAAUUGGCUCGGGAUCUCCCCGGCGGCCUUGCCGAGGGAGAGGGAUGUCGUCCUUCAUGUCGACUAGCUCGGGGUCUCCCCGACGGUCACGCCAAACCUCUCAGGGAGGCUACUGUGCAGCUCAUGGCCAUGCAGGUUGCAGGACACACUGCAACGUGGAAGCGUAUGUACCACUUUGGGAGAUAUAAACACAUACAAAGGACUCAAUUGAAAAAAUGCACCAUGGAUGGUGGCCAUGCAAGAUUAGGACCUCAGAUGAACAAACAUACAUAGUUUUGAGACCCAAAACUGCAAUUUUGAAGUUAUGGGACUAAAAAUGACACACCUCCAAUAGUUUUAGGACCCAAAAGUGCAGUUUCGAAGUUAUAGGACUAAACUGACAUACUUCCGAUAGUUUUAGGACCCAAAAGUGCAGUUUGAAAGUUAUAGGACUAAACUGACACACCUAUGAUAGUUUUAGGACUUGUGAUGCAUUUUACUCAUAUAACAAACUCCACACAUCUUGCAACCAAAACCCUAUCCCUCACCCUCACCCUCAACCUCAAGCAACCGCGUCGCCGCCCCUCCGAAGCGUUCGUGCCGCAGCUCCACCAUGAAGGUACGCGCUGCUCUUCACCUCCCGAUGCACGCAGAUGUGACCUGUGCCUGUGCGACGCCUGAUUUGUGUGGCCUUUUGCGUUGGUUUCAAUUCAAGAUCGUGAGCGAAGAAGACGAGGAGCUGUGAGUGUUUCUCGUCUCCCGCCCCAUUCGUCCUCUAGACCCGCAUCGCGUAAUCAGUAUAAUCAUCAUACUUGACUGCUUUUGGGAAACGGCGUGUCUGUUUAGUUCGUGGUUCUUUUGAUCGGCCCGUGUUUGUUUGGACUUUUGGCAGUCACUGAAUGUUGUUGUCUUGCGCAUCUUUCUAAUGCUUGGUGUUGGUGUAACUUUUCUUUUACUGUACUUUGUUAGUCUGGAUGGUGCGGGUCUAUUAUUGGUGAAUGCAUGUGUUAAUACGACCCUCUUAUUGAUAUCAUGGUGCGAUUUGAAUCACGUUGAAGCUUCAACUGAACACUUCUAUAAGCGUUGUGGAGGGUGUUCUUAAACAAUAAUACCGUGUCGCAGAGGCUAGCUACUAGCUUGUUUCGAUGUUCAAAUGUAGUUUCAAGUUGCAUUUAGGUCAGUUAAUGUACACUUCCCACUUUGAUCUAUAGAUAAACGCACUUGUAUGUAUUCCGAGUUUAGAAAGUGCACAGCAAUACCAAGUAUUGUCCGAGGAUUGAGAAUAUGCAACCCUUCCACAUUCUUAACAAAUUGAUUAACGCCAAAUGGUUUCAAGCAUUCUUAACAAAGCAGUUUUUACUUCUGAAACCACCAUAAGCAGACUUUUAGUGGUUAAUAAUCAGUAUAUUGAAGUUUGUUGAUUGACUAAAUAUUCCAGUUGGAAUUUGCUCUUUUCUUUUUUUAAUUCAGAUAUCUAACAUUUUGGUAUGAACUACAGGAGGAGAAUCUCUAAGGAGGUACUAUCCUCUUCUGGGUUGGCAACAUAUUUCAUGAUACAUAAACCCUUCAGCUGAUGUUUUGAUAGUUUUGAUCAAAGACAUCUGUCAUUUCCUGUAUUUUCAGGAAUUCAAGGGUUAUAUCUUCACAAUCAUUGGUGGCUGCGAUAAGCUGGGCUUCCCAAUGAAGCAAGGAGUGCAAACUUCUAGGCGUGUCUGCCUUCUUCUUCACAGGGGUAUAACUUUAUUUCCAUGGUACUUCUUACCCACAUCUUUCCUUCUUAAAUUGAACUCUUAAUCUCUUUUGUCUCAAUUCUGUAGAUAUCCCUUGCUUCCGUGGGUAUGGCAGGCGUACAAAGACUUGUCUCGGACGCAAGAAAGAUAGAAGGAUUUGCGCUUUUGGCAAGUAACAGGAGGAUGAAUAGGAGCUUAGAAGAGGGAGUGGUAAUGAGAUUAGACGUCGGAUAUGUUGUUUAGUCCCACUCCUUAGUUUGUUAUCUUAUGGGAAUUAUGUGUUGGAGAAGUUUGUGGGAAUUUAUUAGGAUUAAUCAAGAUAUAUGACAUAAGUUGUGAUAAAUCUUUAAGAGAAUUCUCUCCUAAUUCCCACCGACUGCAUGUUUUAACAGUGGAAGUUGGGAUCUCAAACUACUCCUCGUCAAUUCCCAAACCCAGUAACUUUGUACCCUUUCAAUUCUCACUUAACCAAAGAGGGUGUAAAGUAAAGGCAGUCUAAAGAUGGUAUUUGUUACUAGGGGUUGAGUCAUGGCAGUGCACAACUCACUCUGGUACCCAAUUCCUGCCUAAAAUUGGCCUCCAUGGGUCUUCCUGAGAACUAGGAAGGGUAGGGAAGGCUGGUAGAUAAAUGAAGGUAGUCCACAUUGCAAAAUUUGGCUCGUGUCAAAAUAGUGGUCAAAUGGCAAAUGUUGGACCAAUGGAUCGUAUGAUGAUCUUCUAGAUCAUGGCAUCUAUGGGUAGGUGUGGACUAAAGACAAGAUGCCAAAGUCUCCUCUAGAUGGAGGAGCGGAAAUUAGGUUUUCAUCCUUUCUAAGAUAUUGGGCAUAAAAAAAUAAAUUUACCACGGAAAUAUUGGAACUAUGGAGUCCCAUUUUGUGGGUAUUGGGUUUGUAUGGUCACACGAAGCUCUAUAGGGGUGUUCUUGGAAUUUUCAAGUGGUAGAAAAAUGGGUUCCUUUGUAAUGGUGGAAUAUACAAGAGGCUCGUAAUAGGGAGGUAAUUAUUUUCCCAUGGGCUAUGACUUUGGCUUUAUACUAUGUGUAGUGGCAUGGUUUGCACAAGGGAUCCACAUUGGUUUUACCAUGCCAUGUGACAUCGAGUUUGAGAUGGCCAAAGCAAACACAAGAGAAAACAAAAGGAAGAAUCACCAAAAAAGUAAAUAAAAAACAAGAAAUGAAAAUCGGUAUGGUACACAAAUGGGGAAGGAUGUCCCAUCGAGGGAUGUAUAAUAUGAUCUAGCCAAUGUCUCAAGCAGCGUCGAAUCAUAGAGACGUGCUCUCUAGAUCUGGAGCUUUUUUAGGAGGCCUCACGCGAGGAUACGAUAGAUCUGGACCUCCCAGACAUCAAUUCCAACAAAUGGGUGAUAUAAUGAAGGGAUGAUUCGUGAGGUGAAUGAAACCUAUAGGAUGAUAGUUUUGGUGUAAAUGUGUGUGGGAGAUUUAGCCAUCUCCCUAGUGCCAAGUUGAGGAUUGACCUGGAGGGUGCCAUACUACUAAAAGGGCUUCUCUCUCCGGGCAUCUGCUCAGCGAGGGGCAGUCCCAAGUGGCCAUAUGACAUGCAAGAUUGCUUCUCCCUUUUGUUGUCUUUACUCCUGAGGAAAGGGUAUGGUGUAGUCCUAUAGCAUAGGGCCUAGCAAAAAGCCUCACCCGAUGCUUACGCGUCUGCCCUAAUAAUAACUAGGAGUACAUCAUGUUCCAACUGAAAAUUAAAAUAUAUGCACACUUCUUUGGGCCAAGCAGUUGAGCCUCUUUAUGUUUUUCCUUUUCAGAAAUCUUGAGCUUAUUUAUGUUUAAGGACAUGUUGAGAAUAUUAUUAUUAUUAUUAUUAUUAUUAUUAUUAUUAUUAUUAUUAUUAUUAUUAUUAUUAUUAUUAUUAUUAUUAUCAUCAUCAUUANNNNNNNNNNNNNNNNNNNNNNNNNNNNNNNNNNNNNNNNNNNNNNNNNNNNNNNNNNNNNNNNNNNNNNNNNNNNNNNNNNNNNNNNNNNNNNNNNNNNNNNNNNNNNNNNNNNNNNNNNNNNNNNNNNNNNNNNNNNNNNNNNNNNNNNNNNNNNNNNNNNNNNNNNNNNNNNNNNNNNNNNNNNNNNNNNNNNNNNNNNNNNNNNNNNNNNNNNNNNNNNNNNNNNNNNNNNNNNNNNNNNNNNNNNNNNNNNNNNNNNNNNNNNNNNNNNNNNNNNNNNNNNNNNNNNNNNNNNNNNNNNNNNNNNNNNNNNNNNNNNNNNNNNNNNNNNNNNNNNNNNNNNNNNNNNNNNNNNNNNNNNNNNNNNNNNNNNNNNNNNNNNNNNNNNNNNNNNNNNNNNNNNNNNNNNNNNNNNNAUAUAAAGAAGCUCAACAUUCUAGAGUAUCAUGUUUCUCCAAUGUUGCACAAGGUUGGAUUAUGGCAAGUACUCUUGCCUUUUUAGUUUUUUUUGUUGAUUUCUUCAAUUGCAUAUAAGACUUAACCGUAUCUAAGAAUGAAACUCAACCGCAUGAGAAGAUGGACACUUCAGUACAUGUGAGUUACCUUGUAUUCUCUUCCCCACGCGUCGCGCCACCGCCACUGCCUAGGAGUGGUGGAUCUACCAUGAAUAGGUUGACAUGAGCCUUUCACCACGACAAGGCUAUCAACCCCAUAGGAAAACCACGGUCAAACGACGGGAUAUGAUGGAUUCCGGCGGAAAUUGCCGGAGGAAGGUAAACCCUAGAAAAACCGCAACGGCCUAAUUUAAUUGUGUCAAUGCAGACAGGCAUAAGCCCAUUUUAUAGUUGAUUCCUAUUUUACGCAUAGGUUGCUAGAAAGCGACCUAGCGCGCACCCUCUCAUGAUCCUCUGUACGGGUCAGCCCAUGGUGCUUUUUCACCGGUUCUAGAACCUUCCCUGGAUCUUUUUUUCUUCUGGCUUUUUCUUUCUUUUAUCUUUUUUGGAUUUUCCUUUUUGUUUUUAUUUUGUUAUUUUGUUAACUUUGUUUUUAUUUUUUGUUUUCAUGUUUUUUGUUUUUACAAGAAAACUUUAGAUCUAUUCAUCUUCAAUCAUGGUAGUACAACAAAUAUCAAAAAUAAUUAAAAAAAAGUAGAUCCAAAUCCGUAGGCCACCUAGCAACAAAUAUCGAAGGCGCGCCGCCGUCAUCAACCCUCCCUCGCCGGGGCCGGGCAAAAUUUGUCGUAGUAGACAAUCGAGAAGUCGUCGUGCUAAGACCCUAUAGGACUAGUGCACCAGAACAACAACCACCGUGAUGAAGAGUUGCGUAAAUCAGAAGGAUCCAACAUGAAAAACACGGAUCCGAGCGGAUCCACCAAAGACAGAUCCUCGAGGCACACCUCCACACGCACAUCGAUGAUGCCAUAUGCACCACCGGAACAGGGGCUAGGUAGGGAUAACCUUAGUCCAUCUUGAGAGAGUCGUUGUCGUCUCGCCUGGCUGAGCAGGACAUAAAUCCUAACAAAACUCAAAUAAACAUCUAAUAACGGAGCCCUCCUGCCGGCAAGGGUCAGGAUCCAUCGUGCCCAAAUGGCCCUAAUGUUGGGAAACGUUGCAGAAAACAAAAAUGUUCCUACGGUUUCACCAAGAUCCAUCUAGGAGUUCAUCUAGCAACGAGUGAUUGGAUUGCAUCUACAUACCUUUGUAGAUCACGCGCGGAAGCGUUCAAAGAACGGGGAUGAGGAAGUCAUACUCAACGUGAUCCAAAUCACCGGAGAUCCUAGCGCCGAACGGACGGCACCUCCGCGUUCAACACACGUACGGUCAGCGUGACGUCUCCUCCUUCUUGAUCCAGCAAGGGGGGAGGAGAGGUUGAGGAAGAUGGCUCUAGCAGCAGCACGACGGCGUGGUGGUGAUGGAGCUGCAGUACUCCGGCAGGGCUUCGCGAAGCUCUAUGGAGGAGGAGGAGGUGUUGGAGAGGGAGAGGGAGGCACCAAAGGCGUGGAUUGAGAGGCCCUCCUUCCCAGUCUUGAUCCGUGUUAACCCAACAGACACUUUCGGAGAUACCCGUAGUAUACCUUUAUAGUCACCCAGUUACGUUGUGACGUUUGGUACACCCAAAGCACUCCUACGGUAUCCGGGAGUUACACGAUCUCAUGGUCUAAGGAAAAGAUACUUGACAUUGGAAAACUCUAGCAAACGAACUAUACGAUCUUAUGCUAUGUUUAGGAUUGGGUCUUGUCCAUCACAUCAUUCUCCUAAUGAUGUGAUCUUGUUAUCAAUGACAUCUAAUGUCCAUAGUCAGGAAACCAUGACUAUCUGUUGAUCAACGAGCUAGUCAACUAGAGGCUUACUAGGGACAUGUUGGUGUCUAUUAUUCACACAUGUAUUACGAUUUCCGGAUAACACAAUUAUAGCAUGAAUAAAGACAAUUAUCAUGAACAAGGAAAUAUAAUAAUAAUGCUUUUAUUAUUGCCUCUAGGGCAUAUUUCCAACAGUCUCCCACUUGCACUAGAGUCAAUAAUCUAGUUACAUUGUGAUGAAUCGAACACCCAUGGAAUUCUGGUGUUGAUCAUGUUUUGCUCUAGGGAGAGGUUUAGUCAAUGGAUCUGCUACAUUCAGGUCCGUAUGUACUUUACGAAUAUCUAUGUCUCCAUCUUGAACAUUUUCACGAAUGGAGUUGAAGCGACGCUUCAUGUGCCUGGUCUUCUUGUGAAACCUGGGCUCCUUGGCAAGUGCAAUAGCUCCAGUGUUGUCACAGAAGAGUUUGAUUGGCCCCGACGCAUUGGGUAUGACUCCUAGGUCGGUGAUGAACUCCUUCACCCAAAUUGCUUCAUGCGCUGCCUCUGAGGCUGCCAUGUACUCCGCUUCACAUGUAGAUCCCGCCACGACGCUCUGCUUGCAACUGCACCAGCUUACUGCCCCACCAUUCAAAAUAUAUACGUAUCCGGUUUGUGACUUUGAGUCAUCCAGAUCUGUGUCGAAGCUAGCAUCGACGUAACCCUUUACGACGAGCUCUUCGUCACCUCCAUAGACGAGAAACAUUUCCUUAGUCCUUUUCAUGUACUUCUGGAUAUUCUUGACCGCUGUCCAGUGUUCCUUGUCGGGAUUACUUUGGUACCUACCUACCAAACUUACGGCAAGGUUUACAUCAGGUCUGGUACACAGCAUGGCAUACAUAAUAGAACCUAUGGCUGAGGCAUAGGGGAUGACACUCAUCUCUUCUAUAUCUUCUGCCAUGGUCGGAUAUUGAGCUGAGCUCAAUUUCACACCUUGCAACACAGGCAAGAACCCCUUCUUAGACUGAUUCAUAUUGAAUUUCUUCAAUAUCUUAUCAAGGUAUGUGCUUUGUGAAAGACCUAUGAGGCGUCUUGAUCUAUCUCUAUAGAUCUUGAUGCCUAAUAUAUAUGCAGCUUCUCCAAGGUCCUUCAUUGAAAAACUCUUAUUCAAGUAGGCCUUAAUGUUGUCCAAAAGUUCUAUAUCAUUUCCCAUCAAAAGUAUGUCAUCUACAUAUAAUAUGAGAAAUGCUACAGAGCUCCUACUCACUUUCUUGUAAACGCAGGCUUCUCCAUAAGUCUGCAUAAACCCAAACGCUUUGAUCAUCUCAUCAAAGCAAAUGUUCCAACUCCGAGAUGCUUGCACCAACCCAUAAAUCGAGCGUUAGAGCUUACACACCUUGUCAGCAUUCUUAGGAUUGACAAAACCUUCCGGCUGCAUCAUAUACAAUUCUUCCUUAAGGAAACCAUUAAGGAAUGCCGUUUUGACGUCCAUUUGCCAUAUCUCAUAAUCGUAGAAUGUGGCAAUUGCUAACAUGAUUCGGACGGACUUUAGCUUCGCUACCGGUGAGAAAGUCUCAUCGUAGUCAACCCCUUGAACUUGUCGAUAACCCUUAGCGACAAGCCGAGCUUUAUAGAUGGUCACAUUACCAUCCGCGUCUGUCUUCUUCUUAAAGAUCCAUUUAUUUUCUAUGGCUCGCCGCUCAACGGGCAAGUCAGUCAAAGUCCAUACUUCGUUUUCAUACAUGGAUCCUAUCUCGGAUUUCAUGACUUCUAGCCAUUUGUCGGAAACUGGGCCCGCCAUCACUUCUUCAUAGUUUGAAGGUUCACCGUUGUCUAACAACAUGAUUUCCAAGACAGGGUUGCCGUACCACUCUGGUGCGGAACGUGUCCUUGUGGACCUUCGAAUUUCAGUAGGAGCUUGAUCAGAAGUAUCUUGAUCAUCAUCAUUAACUUCCUCUCUAGUCGGUGCAGGCACCUCAGAAACAUUUUCUGGCUGCGCCAUUUUCCGGUUCAAGAGGUAAUACUUCAUCAAGUUCUACUUUCUUCCCACUUACUUCUUUCGAGAGAAACUCUUUCUCUAGAAAGGACCCAUUCUUGGCAACAAAGAUCUUGCCUUCGGAUCUGAGGUAGAAGGUAUACCCAAUAGUUUCUUUAAGGUAUCCUAUGAAGACGCAUUUUUCCGAUUUGGGUUCGAGCUUUUCAGGUUGAAGUUUGUUGACAUAAGCAUCGCAUCCCCAAACUUUUAGAAACGACAGCUUAGGUUUCUUCCCAAACCAUAAUUCAUACGGUGUCGUCUCAACGGAUUUCGAUGGAGCCCUAUUUAAAGUGAAUGCGGCAGUCUCUAAAGCAUACCCCCAAAAAGAUAACGGUAAAUCGGUAAGAGACAUCAUAGAUCGCACCAUAUCUAAUAGAGUGUGAUUACGACGUUCGGACACACCAUUACGCUGAGGUGUUCCAGGCGGCGUGAGUUGUGAAACUAUUCCACAUUUUCUUAAGUGUGUGCCAAACUCAUGACUCAAGUAUUCUCCUCCACGAUCUGAUCGCAGGAACUUGAUUUUCCUGUCACGUUGAUUCUCAACCUCACUCUGAAAUUCCUUGAACUUUUCAAAGGUCUCAUACUUGUGUUUCAUUAAGUAGACAUACCCAUAUCUACUCAAGUCAUCAGUGAGGGUGAGAACAUAACGAUAGCCACCCUGAGCCUCAACACUCAUUGGACCGCACACAUCAGUAUGUAUGAUUUCCAAUAAGUUGGUUGCUCGCUCCAUUGUUCCUGAGAACGGAGUCUUGGUCAUUUUACCCAUGAGGCAUGGUUCACACGUGUCAAAUGAUUCGUAAUCAAGAGACUCUAAAAGUCCAUCAGCAUGGAGCUUCUUCAUGCGUUUGACACCUAUGUGACCAAGGCGGCAAUGCCACAAGUAUGUGGGACUAUCAUUAUCAAUCUUACAUCUUUUGGUACUCACACUAUGAACAUGUGUAGCAUUACGCUCGAGAUUUCAUUAAGAAUAAACCAUUCACCAUCGGAGCGUGACCAUAAAACAUAUCUCUCAUAUAAAUAGAACAACCAUUAUUCUCGGAUUUAAAUGAGUAGCCAUCUCGAAUUUAAACGAGAUCCUGAUACAAUUUUCAUGCUCAAACUUGGCACUAAAUAACAAUUAUUGAGGUUCAAAACUAAUCCCGUAGGUAAAUGUAGAGGUAGCGUGCCGACGGCGAUCACAUCGACCUUGGAACCAUUCCCGACGCGCAUCGUCACCUCGUCCUUCGCCAGUCUCCAUUUAUUCCGCCGCUCCUGCUUUGAGUUACAAGUGUGAGCAACUGCACCGGUAUCAAAUACCCAGGAGCUACUACGAGUACUGGUAAGGUACACAUCAAUUACAUGUAUAUCACAUAUACCUUUCAUUUUGCCGGCCUUCUUGUCCGCUAAGUAUUUGGGGCAGUUCCGCUUCCAGUGACCACUUUCCUUGCAAUAAAAGCACUCAGUCUCGGGCUUGGGUCCAUUCUUUGGCUUCUUCCCGGCAGCUUGCUUGCCGGGUGCGGCAACUCCCUUGUCGUCCUUUUUGAAGGCUUUCUUACCCUUGCCCUUCUUGAACUUAGUGGUUUUAUUCACCAUCAACACUUAAUGUUCCUUUUUGACUUCUACCUCUGCUAAUUUCAGCAUUGCAAAUACUUCAGGAAUGGUCUUUUCCAUCCCCUGCAUAUUGAAGUUCAUCACAAAACUCUUGUAGCUUGGUAGAAGCGACUGGAGGAUUCUGUCAAUGACCGCGUCAUCCGGGAGAUUAACUCCCAGCUGAGUCAAGCGGUUAUGCAACCCAGACAUAGUGAGUAUGUGCUCACUGACAGAACUAUUUUCCUCCAUCUUACAGCUGAAGAACUUGUCGGAGAAUUCAUAUCUCUCGACCCGGGCAUGAGCUUGAAAAACCAUUUUCAGCUCUUCGAACAUCUCAUAUGCUCUGUGUCUCUCGAAACGCUUUUGGAGUCCCGGCUCUAAGCUGUAAAGCAUGCCGCACUGAACGAGGGAGUAGUCAUCGGUACGUGCCUGCCAAGCAUUCAUAACAUCUUGUUCUGCAGGGAGAACAGGUGCGUCACCCAGCGGUGCUUGUAGGACAUAAUCUUUCUUGGCAGCUAUGAGGAUGAUCCUCAGGUUCCGGACCCAGUCCGUGUAGUUGCUGCCAUCGUCUUUCAGCUUGGUUUUCUCUAGGAACGUGUUGAAGUUGAGGACUACGUUGGCCAUUUGAUCUACAAGACAUAUUGUAAAAAAAAUUAGACUAAGUUCAUGAUAAUUAAGUUCAUCUAAUCAAAUUAUUCAAUGAACUCCCACUUAUAUAGACAUCCCUCCUGUUCUAAGUAUAACAUGAUCCGAGUUAACUAGGCCGUGUCCGAUCAUCACGUGAGACGGACUAGUCAACAUCGGUGAAUAUCUUCAUGUUGAUCGUAUCUUCUAUACGACUCAUGCUCGACCUUUCGGUCUUCUGUGUUUCGAGGCCAUGUCUGUACAUGCUAGGCUCGUCAAGUCAACCUAAGUGUUUGCAUGUGUAAAUCUGUCUUACACCCGUUGUAUGUGAACGUUGGAAUCUAUCACACCCGAUCAUCACGUGGUGCUUCGAAACAACAAACUGUCGCAACGGUGCACAGUUAGGGGGAAAACUUUCUUGAAACUAUUAUGAGGGAUCAUCUUAUUUACUACCGUCGUUCUAAGCAAACAAGAUGCAAAAACAUGAUAAACAUCACAUGCAAUCAAAUAAUAAUGGUGACAUGAUAUGGCCAAUAUCACAUAGCUCCUUUGAUCUCCAUCUUGGGGCUCCAUGAUCAUCUUGUCACCGGCAUGACACCAUGAUCUCCAUCAUCAUGAUCUCCAUCAUCGUGUCUCCAUGAAGUUGCUCGCCAACUAUUACUUCUACUACUAUGGCUAACGCGUUUAGCAAUAAAGUAAAGUAAUUUACAUGGCGUUUCUCAAUAACACGCAGGUCAUACAAAAAAUAAAUACAACUCCUAUGGCUCCUGCCGGUUGUCAUACUCAUCGACAUGCAAGUCGUGAUUCCUAUUACAAUAGCAUGAACAACUCAUACAUCACACAUAUCAUUCAUCAUUCAUCACAACUUUGGCCAUAUCAUAUCACAAAUCACUUGCUGCAAAAACAAGUUAGACGUCCUCUAAUUGUUGUUGCAAGUUUUACAUGGCUGAAAUAGGGUUCUAGCAAGAACGUUUUCUUACCUAUGUGAAAGCCACAACGUGAUUUGUCAACUUCUAUUUACCCUUCAUAAGGACCCUUUUCAUCGAAUCCGCUCCAACUAAAGUGGGAGAGCCAGCCACCCGCCAGCCACCUUAUGCAACUUGUGCAUGUUAGUCGGUGGAACCGGUCUCACAUAAGCGUACGUGUAAGGUUGGUCCGGGCCGCUUCAUUCCACAAUACCGUUGAAGCAAGAUAAGACUAGUAGCGGCAAGAAAGUUGACAACAUCAACGCCCACAACAAAUUGUGUUCUACUCGUGCAAGAGAACUACGCAUAAACCUAGCUCAUGAUGCCACUGUUGGGAAAUGUUGCAGAAAACAAAAAUUUUCCUACGGUUUCACCAAGAUCCAUCUAGGAGUUCAUCUAGCAACGAGUGAUUGGAUUGCAUCUACAUACCUUUGUAGAUCACGCACGGAAGCGUUCAAAGAACGGGCAUGAGGAAGUCGUACUCGACGUGAUCCAAAUCACCGGAGAUCCUAGCGCCGAACGGACGGCACCUCCGCGUUCAACACACGUACGGUCAGCGUGACGUCUCCUCCUUCUUGAUCCAGCAAGGGGAGAGGAGAGGUUGAGGAAGAUGGCUCCAGCAGCAGCACGACGACGUGGUGGUGAUGGAGCUGCAGUACUCCGGCAGGGCUUCGCGAAGCUCUAUGGAGGAGGAGGAGGUGUUGGAGAGGGAGAGGGAGGCACCAAAGGCGUGGCUUGAGAGGCCCUCCUUCUGUUGGGGAACGCAGUAAUUUCAAAAAAAAUUCCUACGCACACGCAAGAUCAUGGUGAUGCAUAGCAACGAGAGGGGAGAGUAUGAUCUACGUACCCUUGUAGAUCGCAACGGAAGCGUUGACACAACGUAGAGGAAGUAGUCGUAUGUCUUCUUCCCGGUCCGACCGAUCCAAGCACCGUUACUCCGGCACCUCCGAGUUCUUAGCACACGUACAGCUCGAUGACGCUCCCCGGGCUCCGAUCCAGCAAAGCUUCGGGGAUGAGUUCCGUCAGCACAACGGCGUGGUGACGAUGAUGAUGUUCUACCGACGCAGGGCUUCGCCUAAGCACUACAACGAUAUGACCGAGGUGGAAUAUGGUGGCAGGAGGCACCGCACAUGGCUAAGGAACGAUCGCGAGGAUCAACUUGUGUCUAGAGGUGCCCCCUGCCCCCGUAUAUAAAGGAUCCAAGGGGGAGGGGGCGGCCGGCCAGGAGGAGGGCGCAGGAGGAGUCCUACUCCUACCGGAAGUAGGACUCCCCCCAAUCCUAGUUGGAAUAGGAUUCCCCGAGGGGGAAAGAGAGAGAGGGGGGUCGGCCACCCCUCCUUGUCCUAAUAGGACUAGGGGAGGGGGGAGGCGCGCGGCCCACCUUGGGCUGCCCCUUUCUCCUUUCCACUAAAGCCCACUAAGGCCCAUAUAGCUCCCGGGGGGUUCCGGUAACCUCCCGGUACUCCGGUAAAAUCUCGAUUUCACCCGGAACACUUCCCAUAUCCAAACAUGGGCUUCCAAUAUAUCAAUCUUUAUGUCUCGACCAUUUAGAGACUCCUCGUCAUGUCCGUGAUCACAUCCGGGACUCCGAACUAACUUCGGUACAUCAAAAUGCAUAAACUCAUAAUAACUGUCAUCGUAACGUUAAGCGUGCGGACCCUACGGUUCGAGAACAAUGCAGACAUGACUGAGACACAUCUCCGGUCAAUAACCAAUAGCGGGACCUGGAUGCCCAUAUUGGCUCCUACAUAUUCUACGAAGAUCUUUAUCGGUCAGACCGCAUAACAACAUACGUUGUUCCCUUUGUCAUCGGUAUGUUACUUGCCUGAGAUUCGAUCGUCGGUAUCCAAUACCUAGUUCAAUCUUGUUACCGGCAAGUCUCUUUACUCGUUCCGUAAUACAUCAUCUCACAACUAACAUAUUAGCUGUAAUGCUUGCAAGGCUUAUGUGAUGUGCAUUACCGAGAGGGCCCAGAGAUACCUCUCCGACAAUCGGAGUGACAAAACCUAAUCUCGAAAUACGCCAACCCAACAUGUACCUUUGGAGACACCUGUAGUACUCCUUUAUAAUCACCCAGUUACGUUGUGAUGUUUGGUAGCACCCAAAGUGUUCCUCCAGUAAACGGGAGUUGCAUAAUCUCAUAGUUAUAGGAACAUGUAUAAGUCAUGAAGAAAGCAAUAGCAACAUACUAAACGAUCGAGUGCUAAGCUAAUGGAAUGGGUCAUGUCAAUCAGAUCAUUCACUUAAUGAUGUGAUCCCGUUAAUCAAAUAACAACUCAUUGUUCAUGGUUAGGAAACAUAACCAUCUUUGAUUAACGAGCUAGUCAAGUAGAGGCAUACUAGUGACACUUUGUUUGUCUAUGUAUUCACACAUGUAUUAUGUUUCCGGUUAAUACAAUUCUAGCAUGAAUAAUAAACAUUUAUCAUGAUAUAUAAGGAAAUAAAUAAUAACUUUAUUAUUGCCUCUAGGGCAUAUUUCCUUCAGUCUCCCACUUGCACUAGAGUCAAUAAUCUAGAUUACACAGUAAUGAUUCUCACACCCAUGGAGCCUUGGUGCUGAUCAUGUUUUGCUCGUGGAAGAGGCUUAGUCAACGGGUCUGCGACAUUCAGAUCCGUAUGUAUCUUGCAAAUCUCUAUGUCUCCCACCUGGACUAGAUCCCGGAUGGAAUUGAAGCGUCUCUUGAUGUUCUUGGUUCUCUUGUGAAAUCUGGAUUCCUUUGCCAAGGCAAUUGCACCAGUAUUGUCACAAAAGAUUUUCAUUGGACCCGAUGCACUAGGUAUGACACCUAGAUCGGAUAUGAACUCCUUCAUCCAGACUCCUUCGUUUGCUGCUUCCGAAGCAGCUAUGUACUCCGCUUCACAUGUAGAUCCCGCCACAACGCUUUGUUUAGAACUGCACCAACUGACAGCUCCACCGUUUAAUGUAAACACGUAUCCAUUUUGCAAUUUAGAAUCGUCCGGAUCAGUGUCAAAGCUUGCAUCAACAUAACCGUUUACAAUGAGCUCUUUGUCACCUCCAUAUACGAGAAGCAUAUCCUUAGUCCUUUUCAGGUAUUUCAGGAUGUUCUUGACCGCUGUCCAGUGAUCCACUCGUGGAUUACUUUGGUACCUCCCUGCUAGACUUAUAGCAAGGCACACAUCAGGUCUGGUACAUAGCAUUGCAUACAUGAUAGAUCCUAUGGCUGAUGCAUAGGGAACAUCUUUCAUAUUCUCUCUAUCUUCUGCAGUGGUCGGGCAUUGAGUCUUACUCAACUUCACACCUUGUAACACAGGCAAGAAUCCUUUCUUUGCUUGAUCCAUUUUGAACUUUUUCAAAACUUUGUCAAGGUAUGUGGUUUGUGAAAGUCCAAUUAAGCGUUUUGAUCUAUCUCUAUAGAUCUUAAUGCCUAAUAUGUAAGCAGCUUCACCGAGGUCUUUCAUUGAAAAACUUUUAUUCAAGUAUCCCUUUAUGCUAUCCAGAAAUUCUAUAUCAUUUCCAAUUAGUAAUAUGUCAUCCACAUAUAAUAUCAGAAAUGCUACAGAGCUCCCACUCACUUUCUUGUAAAUACAGGCUUCUCCAAAAGUCUGUAUAAAACCAAAUGCUUUGAUCACACUAUCAAAACGUUUAUUCCAACUCCGAGAGGCUUGCACCAGUCCAUAAAUGGAUCGCUGGAGCUUGCACACUUUGUUAGCUCCCUUUGGAUCGACAAAACCUUCUGCUUGCAUCAUAUACAACUCUUCUUCCAGAAAUCCAUUAAGGAAUGCAGUUUUUACAUCCAUCUGCCAAAUUUCAUAAUCAUAAAAUGCGGCAAUUGCUAACAUGAUUCGGACAGACUUAAGCAUCGCUACGGGUGAGAAGGUCUCAUCGUAGUCAAUCCGUUGAACUUGCCGAAAACCUUUUGCGACAAGUCGAGCUUUGUAGACAGUAAUAUUACCGUCAGUGUCAGUCUUCUUCUUGAAGAUCCAUUUAUUCUCAAUUGCUUGCCGAUCAUCGGGCAAGUCAACCAAAGUCCAUACUUUGUUUCCAUACAUGGAUCCUAUCUCAGAUUUCAUGGCUUCAAGCCACUUUGCGGAAUCUGGGCUCACCAUCGCUUCUUCAUAGUUCAUAGGUUCAUCAUGAUCUAGUAGCAUGACUUCCAGAACAGGAUUACCGUACCACUCUGGUGCGGAUCUCACUCUGGUUGAUCUACGAGGUUCAGUAGUAUCUUGAUCUAAAGUUUCAUGAUCACCAUCAUUAGCUUCCUCUCUAAUUGGUGUAGGUGUCACUGAAACAGUUUUCUGUGAUGCACUACUUUCCAAUAAGGGAGUAGGUACAGUUACCUCGUCAAGUUCUACUUUCCUCCCACUCACUUCUUUCGAGAGAAACUCCUUCUCCGGAAAGGAUCCAUUCUUAGCAACGAAUGUCUUGCCUUCGGAUCUGUGAUAGAAGGUGUACCCAACAGUCUAUUUUGGGUAUCCUAUGAAGACACAUUUCUCCGAUUUGGGUUCGAGCUUAUCAGGUUGAAGCUUUUUCACAUAAGCAUCGCAGCCCCAAACUUUAAGAAACGACAACUUUGGUUUCUUGCCAAACCAUAGUUCAUAAGGUGUCAUCUCAACGGAUUUUGAUGGUGCCCUAUUUAACGUGAAUGCGGCCGUCUCUAAAGCAUAACCCCAAAACGAUAGCGGUAAAUCAGUAAGAGACAUCAUAGAUCGCACCAUAUCUAGUAAAGUACGAUUACGACGUUCGGACACACCAUUACGCUGUGGUGUUCUGGGUGGCGUGAGUUGCGAAACUAUUCCGCAUUGUUUCAAAUGUACACCAAACUCGUAACUCAAAUAUUCUCCUCCACGAUCAGAUCGUAGAAAUUUUAUUUUCUUGUUACGAUGAUUUUCAACUUCACUCUGAAAUUCUUUGAACUUUUCAAAUGUUUCAGACUUGUGUUUCGUUAAGUAGAUAUACCCAUAUCUGCUUAAGUCAUCUGUGAAGGUGAGAAAAUAACGAUAUCCGCCACGAGCCUCAAUAUUCAUCGGACCACAUACAUCUUUAUGUAUGAUUUCCAACAAAUCCGUUGCUCUCUCCAUAGUACCGGAGAACGGUGUUUUAGUCAUCUUUCCCAUGAGGCACGGUUCGCAAGUACCAAGUGAUUCAUAAUCAAGUGGUUCCAAAAGUCCAUCAGUAUGGAGUUUCUUCAUGCGUUUUACAUCGAUAUGACCUAAACGGCAGUGCCACAAAUAAGUUGCACUAUCAUUAUCAACUCUGCAUCUUUUGGCUUCAACAUUAUGAAUAUGUGUGUUACUAAUAUCGAGAUUCAACAAGAAUAGACCACUCUUCAAGGGUGCAUGACCAUAAAAGAUAUUACUCAUAUAAAUAGAACAACCAUUAUUCUCUGAUUUAAAUGAAUAACCGUCUCGCAUCAAACAAGAUCCAGAUAUAAUGUUAAUGCUCAAUGCUGGCACCAAAUAACAAUUACUUAGGUCUAAUACUAAUCCCGAAGGUAGAUGUAGACGCAGCGUGCCGACCGCGAUCACAUCGACUUUGGAACCGUUUCCCACGCGCAUCGUCACCUCGUCCUUUGCUAGUGUUCACUUAAUCCGUAGUCCCUGUUUCGAGUUGCAAAUAUUAGCAACAGAACCAGUAUCAAAUACCCAGGUGCUACUGCGAUCUUUAGUAAGGUACACAUCAAUAACAUGUAUAUCACAUAUACCUUUGUUCACCUUGCCAUCCUUCUUAUCCGCCAAAUACUUGGGGCAGUUCCGCUUCCAGUGACCAGUCUGCUUGCAGUAGAAGCACUCAGUUUCAGGCUUAGGUCCAGACUUGGGUUUCUUCUCUUGAGCAGCAACUUGCUUGCCGUUCUUCUUGAAGUUCCCCUUCUUCUUUCCUUUGCCCUUUUUCUUGAAACUAGUGGUCUUAUUGACCAUCAACACUUGAUGCUCCUUCUUGAUUUCUACCUCCGCAGCUUUCAGCAUUGCGAAGAGAUCGGGAAUAGUCUUGUUCAUCCCUUGCAUAUUAUAGUUCAUCACGAAGCUCUUGUAGCUUGGUGGCAGUGAUUGGAGAAUUCUGUCAAUGACACAAUCAUCUGGAAGAUUAACUCCCAAUUGAAUCAAGUGAUUAUUAUACCCAGACAUUUUGAGUAUAUGCUCACUGACAGAACUGUUCUCCUCCAUCUUGCAGCUGUAGAACUUAUUGGAGACUUCAUAUCUCUCAAUUCGGGCAUUUGCUUGAAAUAUUAACUUCAACUCCUGAAACAUCUCAUAUGCUCCAUGACGUUCAAAACGUCGUUGAAGUCCCGAUUCUAAGCCGUAAAGCAUGGCACACUGAACUAUCGAGUAGUCAUCAUCUUUGCUCUGCCAGACGUUCAUAACAUCUGGUGUUGCUCCAGCAGCAGGCCUGGCACCCAGCGAUGCUUCCAGGACGUAAUUCUUCUGUGCAGCAAUGAGGAUAAUCCUCAACUUACAGACCCAAUCCGUGUAAUUGCUACCAUCAUCUUUCAACUUUGCUUUCUCAAGGAACGCAUUAAAAUUCAACGGAACAACAGCACGGGCCAUCUAUCUACAAUCAAACAUACAUAAGCAAGAUACUAUCAGGUACUAAGUUCAUGAUAAAUUUAAGUUCAAUUAAUCAUAUUACUUAAGAACUCCCACUUAGAUAGACAUCCCUCUAAUCUUCUAAGUGAUCACGUGAUCCAAAUUAACUAAACCAUAACCGAUCAUCACGUGAAAUGGAUUAGUUUUCAAUGGUGAACAUCAUUAUGAUCAUAUCUACUAUAUGAUUCACGCUUGACCUUUCGGUCUCCGUGUUCCGAGGCCAUAUCUGCAUAUGCUAGGCUCUCAAGUUUAACCUGAGUAUUCUGCGUGUGCAAAACUGGCUUGCACCCGUUGUAGAUGGACGUAGAGCUUAUCACACCCGAUCAUCACGUGGUGUCUGGGCAUGACGAACUUUGGCAACGGUGCAUACUCAGGGAGAACACUUCUUGAUAAUUUAGUGAGAGAUCAUCUUAUAAUGCUACCAUCAAUCAAAGCAAGAUAAGAUGCAUAAAGGAUAAACAUCACAUGCAAUCAAUAUAAGUGAUAUGAUAUGGCCAUCAUCAUCUUGUGCCUGUGAUCUUCAUCUCCGAAGCACUGUCAUGAUCACCAUCGUCACCGGCGCGACACCUUGAUCUCCAUCGUAGCAUCGUUGUCGUCUCGCCAAUCUUAUGCUUCCACGACUAUCACUACCGCUUAGUAAUAAAGUAAAGCAUUACAUCGCGAUUUCAUUGCAUACAAUAAAGCGACAACCAUAUGGCUCCUGCCAGUUGCCGAUAACUCGGUUACAAAACAUGAUCAUCUCAUACAAUAAAAUUUAGCAUCAUGUCUUGGCCAUAUCACAUCACAACAUGCCCUGCAAAAACAAGUUAGACGUCCUCUACUUUGUUGUUGCAAGUUUUACGUGGCUGCUACGGGCUUAAGCAAGAACCAAUCUCACCUACGCAUCAAAACCACAACGAUAGUUUGUCAAUUUGACUCCGUUUUAACCUUCGCAAGGACCGGGCGUAGCCACACUUGGUUCAACUAAAGUUGGAGAGACAGUCGCCCGCAAGCCACCUAUGUGCAAAGCACGUCGGGAGAACCGGUCUCGCGUAAGCGUACGCGUAAUGUUGGUCCGGGUCGUCUCGUCCAACAAUGCCGCCGAACCAAAGUAUGACAUGCUGGUAGGCAGUAUGACUUGUAUCGCCCACAACUCACUUGUGUUCUACUCGUGCAUAUAACAUCAAACCAUAAAACCUAGGCUCUGAUACCACUGUUGGGGAACGCAGUAAUUUCAAAAAAAUUCCUACGCACACGCAAGAUCAUGGUGAUGCAUAGCAACGAUAGGGGAGAGUAUGAUCUACGUACCCUUGUAGAUCGCAACGAAAGAGUUGACACAACAUAGAGGAAGUAGCCGUACGUCUUCUUCCCGGUCCGACCGAUCCAAGCACUGUUACUCCGGCACCUCCGAGUUCUUAGCACACGUACAGCUCGAUGACGCUCCCCGGGCUCCGAUCCAGCAAAGCUUCGGGGAUGAGUUCCGUCAGCACAACGGCGUGGUGACGAUGAUGAUGUUCUACCGACGCAGGGCUUCGCCUAAGCACUACAACGAUAUGACCGAGGUGGAAUAUGGUGGCAGGGGGCACCGCACACGGCUAAGGAACGAUCACGAGGAUCAACUUGUGUCUAGAGGUGCCCCCCUGCCCCCGUAUAUAAAGGAUCCAAGGGGGAGGGGGCGGCCGGCCAGGAGGAGGGCGCGGGAGGAGUCCUACUCCUACCGGGAGUAGGACUCCCCCCCCCCAAUCCUAGUUGGAAUAGGAUUCCCCGAGGGGGAAAGAGAGAGAGGGGGCCGGCCACCUCUCCUUGUCCUAAUAGGACUAGGGGAGGGGGGAGGCGUGCGGCCCACCUUGGGCUGCCCCUUUCUCCUUUCCACUAAAGCCCACUAAGGCCCAUAUAGCUCCCGGGGGGUUACGGUAACCUCCCGGUACUCCGGUAAAAUCUCGAUUUCACCCGGAACACUUCCGAUAUCCAAACAUAGGCUUCCAAUAUAUCAAUCUUUAUGUCUCGACCAUUUCGAGACUCCUCGUCAUGUCCGUGAUCACAUCCGGGACUCCGAACUAACUUCGGUACAUCAAAAUGUAUAAACUCAUAGUAACUGUCAUCGUAACGUUAAGCGUGCGGACCCUACGGUUCGAGAACAAUGCAGACAUGACUGAGACACAUCUCCGGUCAAUAACCAAUAGCGGGACCUGGAUGCCCAUAUUGGCUCCUACAUAUUCUACGGAGAUCUUUAUCGGUCAGACCGCAUAACAACAUACGUUGUUCCCUUUGUCAUCGGUAUGUUACUUGCCCGAGAUUCGAUCGUCAGUAUCCAAUACCUAGUUCAAUCUCGUUACCGGCAAGUCUCUUUACUCGUUCCGUAAUACAUCAUCUCACAACUAACAUAUUAGUUGUAAUGCUUGCAAGGCUUAUGUGAUGUGCAUUACCGAGAGGGCCCAGAGAUACCUCUCCGACAAUCGGAGUGACAAAACCUAAUCUCGAAAUACGCCAACCCAACAUGUACCUUUGGAGACACCUGUAGUACUCCUUUAUAAUCACCCAGUUACGUUGUGACGUUUGGUAGCACCCAAAGUGUCCCUCCGGUAAACGGGAGUUGCAUAAUCUCAUAGUUAUAGGAACAUGUAUAAGUCAUGAAGAAAGCAAUAGCAACAUACUAAACGAUCGGGUGCUAAGCUAAUGGAAUGGGUCAUGUCAAUCAGAUCAUUCACUUAAUGAUGUGAUCCCGUUAAUCAAAUAACAACUCAUUGUUCAUGGUUAGGAAACAUAACCAUCUUUGAUUAACGAGCUAGUCAAGUAGAGGCAUACUAGUGACACUUUGUUUGUCUAUGUAUUCACACAUGUAUUAUGUUUCCGGUUAAUACAAUUCUAGCAUGAAUAAUAAACAUUUAUCAUGAUAUAUAAGGAAAUAAAUAAUAACUUUAUUAUUGCCUCUAGGGCAUAUUUCCUUCACCUUCCCCCACUAUAUAUAGGGAGCCUAGGGGGGCGCCGGCCCUAGGUGAUCCAAUCUCCUAGGGGGGCGGCGGCCAAGGGAGGAGUCCCUCCUCCCCAAGGCACCUCGGAGGUGCCUUCCCCUUUUGGGACUCUUCCCUUCCUUAGCCCUAGGCGCAUGGGCCUCUUGGGGCUGGUGCCCUUGGCCCAUGUAGGCCAAGGCGCACACCCCUAUAGCCCAUGUGGCCCCCCAGGAUAGGUGGCCCCACCCGGUGGACCCCCGGGACCCUUCCGGUGGUCCCGGUACAAUACCAGUGACCCCGAAACUUGUCUCGAUGGCCGAAAUAGCACUUCCUAUAUAUAAUUAUUUACCUCCGGACCAUUCCGGAACUCCUCGUGACGUCUGGGAUCUCAUCUGGGACUCCGAACAACAUUCGGGUUACUGCAUAUACAUAUCCCUACAACCCUAGCAUCACCGAACCUUAAGUGUGUAGACCCUACGGGUUCGGGAGACAUGUAGACAUGACCGAGAUCACUCUCCGGUCAAUAACCAAUAGCGGGAUAUGGAUACCCAUGUUGGCUCCCACAUGCUCCUCGAUGAUCUCAUCGGAUGAACCACGAUGUCGAGGAUUCACGUAACCCCGCAUACAAUUCCCUUCGUCAAUCGGUAUGUUACUUGCCCGAGAUCCGAUCGUCGGUAUCCCAAUACCUCGUUCAAUCUCGUUACCGGCAAGUCACUUUACUCGUACCAUAAUGCAUGAUCCCGUGACCAGACACUUGGUCACUUUGAGCUCAUUAUGAUGAUGCAUUACCGAGUGGGCCCAGUGAUACCUCUCCGUCAUACGGAGUGACAAAUCCCAGUCUUGAUCUGUGUUAACCCAACAGACACUUUCGGAGAUACCCGUAGUAUACCUUUAUAGUCACCCAGUUACGUUGUGACGUUUGGUACACCCAAAGCACUCCUACGGUAUCCGGGAGUUACACGAUCUCAUGGUCUAAGGAAAAGAUACUUGACAUUGGAAAACUCUAGCAAACGAACUAUACGAUCUUAUGCUAUGUUUAGGAUUGGGUCUUGUCCAUCACAUCAUUCUCCUAAUGAUGUGAUCUCGUUAUCAAUGACAUCUAAUGUCCAUAGUCAGGAAACCAUGACUAUCUGUUGAUCAACGAGCUAGUCAACUAGAGGCUUACUAGGGACAUGUUGGUGUCUAUUAUUCACACAUGUAUUAUGAUUUCCGGAUAACACAAUUAUAGCAUGAAUAAAGACAAUUAUCAUGAACAAGGAAAUAUAAUAAUAAUGCUUUUAUUAUUGCCUCUAGGGCAUAUUUCCAACACCUAAGACCACCGUAGACGAGGAAGACCGAUGGCGGCGCCUACGGGAGGCCUGAACCCUAAGUCCAUUUUGAAAGGAGGCGGUGACUGAAGCGUUUUUUUUCUGUUUCAUUUUGUGAACAUCUUUCAAAUUUGUGAAGAUUUAUUGAAAUCAUGAACAUGCCCAUACCGAAGUGCUCUUAUGAAUCGUCAUGUUGGAAACUUGUCCUAAUGCGGUGCGGAGGACUUAGCCCAUAUGCUGUUUAAGUGUGUAAAGGUGCAAGCAGUUUGGAAAGCUUUGGGAAUCGUAGCACCUAUUAACUUUGCUUCAUUGACUGAUCGAGCAGGUUCAGCAGUCUUGGAGUUCAUUUUAUGUGAUGAUUCUUAUCGACGACAAUAUUCUGAAUUGGUCGAGCUACCAGAGCUCAUAUCAAUAGUUUGUUGGUUCUUAUGGUGGCAAAGAAGACAAUUCGUGCGAGGGGAAGAAAUAUUGACUCCAGAACAAACAGCGCCAGCGGUGGUUUCCCUAGCGAUUAAUUUUGUGCGCGGAGCACAAGCUAAAUCUAAACCCAAGAUCAACAGGUGGCCAACGUUCCUAGCAGGACAACUUGUCCUUAAUGUCGAUGCUUCAUUCACAGAGGGUGAUUAUGCAGGGUCUUGUGGUGCUGUCAUCCGUGAUCACCGGGGAUCUUUCAUGUCGGCGUCCACGGCGAGAUUAGAACAUAUAGCUGAUGUGUUCACGGCAGAAGCGGCAAGAGAUACGGGAUGCAAUAACUUGGUGGUGCGAUCGGAUAAUAUCAUGGUGGUGGAUGCACUUAAAUUCAAUGAAGGUUACUCUAUGGUGGCAGCGCCGGUUCUUGAUGAAUGUCAUAGUUAUCUAGUAGAUUUCAGGAGGUUUACUAUUGAGCAUUGUAUUAGAGAGUCAAAUUAUGUAGCUCAUGAGCUGGCUAAAUGGGGACGUGCUAAUAAUCCAUCUCGUUGGAUUGAUGACCCGCCUGAUUUCAUUGUGAGUCUGCUAGCAGACGAUAUAUCCGUCCUUUUAUAAAGUAAGUUUUCCCUAAAAAAAAGCAUCGGACAGAACAAUCCUCCAAGGAACCGUCGACCAUACGAAACACAGAACCCCAACCGUGCGCCGUACCCACCUAUAUAUAUAACAAGAGUAAAAUGCAUCAUAAGUCCUAAAACUAUCGGAGGUGUGUCAGUUUAGUCCUAUAACUUUGAAACUGCACUUUUGGGUCCUAAAACUAUCAGAGGUGUGUCAGUUUAGUCCUAUAACUUUGAAACUGCACUUUUGGGUUCUAAAACUAUCAAAGGUGUGUCAGUUUAGUCCUAUAACUUUGAAACAGUAGUUGUGGGUCCCAAAACUAUGUAAGUUUCUUCCUCUUAGGUCCUAAGCUUGCAUGGUUAGCAUUGACCCACCAACGAGUCACUUGGAAAUGCUUGGAUUGUAGCCACGUUGACCUGACCCAAUGGGCCCACCAGGUAAAUAUGCAAAAAAAACUAGAGCGUUGUCUCACCUCGUUCUCACGCGCUCGUCUUCUCCCACGCAUGGAAUGCUCAGAGGCGACGGUACAGAGGCCAUCAGUGGAAUGAUGGUUUGAGCUCCAGCGAGGAGAGUAGACCGGUCAUCUCAGCCUCCCCCAACAGCAGCAGAACGACAUGUCGCACAACGUCCAAUUGCUACCCACCUAUGGCUACUGCUAGGGUUGUGUCACUCUCGACGACCUCUGCGCCAGCUUUGCAGUUUCCGCGCACUCCUCUGUGUCGCCCGACAGCUCACCACCUAUGACCAUGCUCGUGCCCAAACAACAGCCUGCACGGCCAACUCUACGGCAAGGGUGUCGGGGCAACGACGAUAUCAUCAAACAGAGAGAGAGAGAGAGGUGGGAUGGCGUACUCCAUCCCAAUUGGCUCGGGAUCUCCCCGGCGGCCUUGCCGAGGGAGAGGGAUGUCGUCCUUCAUGUCGACUAGCUCGGGGUCUCCCCGACGGUCACGCCAAACCUCUCAGGGAGGCUACCGUGCAGCUCAUGGCCAUGCAGGUUGCAGGACACACUGCAACAUGGAAGCGUAUGUACCACUUUGGGAGAUAUAAACACAUACAAAGGACUCAGUUGAAAAAAUGCACCAUGGAUGGUGGCCAUGCAAGAUUAGGACCUCAGAUGAACAAACAUACAUAGUUUUGAGACCCAAAACUGCAAUUUUGAAGUUAUGGGACUAAAAAUGACACACCUCCAAUAGUUUUAGGACCCAAAAGUGCAGUUUCGAAGUUAUAGGACUAAACUGACAUACUUCCGAUAGUUUUAGGACCCAAAAGUGCAGUUUGAAAGUUAUAGGACUAAACUGACACACCUAUGAUAGUUUUAGGACUUGUGAUGCAUUUUACUCAUAUAACAAACUCCACACAUCUUGCAACCAAAACCCUAUCCCUCACCCUCACCCUCAACCUCAAGCAACCGCGUCGCCGCCCCUCCGAAGCGUUCGUGCCGCAGCUCCACCAUGAAGGUACGCGCUGCUCUUCACCUCCCGAUGCACGCAGAUGUGACCUGUGCCUGUGCGACGCCUGAUUCGUGUGGCCUUUUGCGUUGGUUUCAGUUCAAGAUCAUGAGCGAAGAAGACGAGGAGCUGUGAGUGUUUCUCGUUUCCCGCCCCAUUCGUCCUCUAGACCCGCGUCGCGUAAUCAGUAUAAUCAUCAUACUUGACUGCUUUUGGGAAACGGCGUGUCUGUUUAGUUCGUGGUUCUUUUGAUCGGCCCGUGUUUGUUUGGACUUUUGGCAGUCACUGAAUGCUGUUGUCUUGCGCAUCUUUCUAAUGCUUGGUGUUGGUGUAACUUUUCUUUUACUGUACUUUGUUAGUCUGGAUGGUGCGGGUCUAUUAUUGGUGAAUGCAUGUGUUAAUACGACCCUCUUAUUGAUAUCAUGGUGCGAUUUGAAUCACGUUGAAGCUUCAACUGAACACUUCUGUAAGCGUUGUGGAGGGUGUUCUUAAACAAUAAUACCGUGUCGCAGAGGCUAGCUACUAGCUUGUUUCGAUGUUCAAAUGUAGUUUCAAGUUGCAUUUAGGUCAGUUAAUGUACACUUCCCACUUUGAUCUAUAGAUAAAUGCACUUGUAUGUAUUCCGAGUUUAGAAAGUGCACAGCAAUACCAAGUAUUGUCCGAGGAUUGAGAAUAUGCAACCCUUCCACAUUCUUAACAAAUUGAUUAACGCCAAAUGGUUUCAAGCAUUCUUAACAAAGCAGUUUUUACUUCUGAAACCACCAUAAGCAGACUUUUAGUGGUUAAUAAUCAGUAUAUUGAAGUUUGUUGAUUGACUAAAUAUUCCAGUUGGAAUUUGCUCUUUUCUUUUUUUAAUUCAGAUAUCUAACAGUUUGGUAUGAACUACAGGAGGAGAAUCUCUAAGGAGGUACUUGUUGAUCCUCUUCUGGGUUGGCAACAUAUUUCAUGAUACAUAAACCCUUCAGCUGAUGUUUUGAUAGUUUUGAUCAAAGACAUCUGUCAUUUCCUGUAUUUUCAGGAAUUCAAGGGUUAUAUCUUCACAAUCAUUGGUGGCUGCGAUAAGCUGGGCUUCCCAAUGAAGCAAGGAGUGCAAACUUCUAGGCGCGUCUGCCUUCUGCUUCACAGGGGUAUAACUUUAUUUCCAUGGUACUUCUUACCCACAUCUUUCCUUCUUAAAUUGAACUCUUAAUCUCUUUUGUCUCAAUUCUGUAGAUAUCCCUUGCUUCCGUGGGUAUGGCAGGCGUACAAAGACUUGUCUCGGACGCAAGAAAGAUAGAAGGAUUUGCGCUUUUGGCAAGUAACAGGAGGAUGAAUAGGAGCUUAGAAGAGGGAGUGGUAAUGAGAUUAGACGUCGGAUAUGUUGUUUAGUCCCACUCCUUAGUUUGUUAUCUUAUGGGAAUUAUGUGUUGGAGAAGUUUGUGGGAAUUUAUUAGGAUUAAUCAAGAUAUAUGACAUAAGUUGUGAUAAAUCUUUAAGAGAAUUCUCUCCUAAUUCCCACCGACUGCAUGUUUUAACAGUGGAAGUUGGGAUCUCAAACUACUCCUCGUCAAUUCCCAAACCCAGUAACUUUGUACCCUUUCAAUUCUCACUUAACCAAAGAGGGUGUAAAGUAAAGGCAGUCUAAAGAUGGUAUUUGUUACUAGGGGUUGAGUCAUGGCAGUGCACAACUCACUCUGGUACCCAAUUCCUGCCCAAAAUUGGCCUCCAUGGGUCUUCCUGAGAACUAGGAAGGGUAGGGAAGGCUGGUAGAUAAAUGAAGGUAGUCCACAUUGCAAAAUUUGGCUCGUGUCAAAAUAGUGGUCAAAUGGCAAAUGUUGGACCAAUGGAUCGUAUGAUGAUCUUCUAGAUCAUGGCAUCUAUGGGUAGGUGUGGACUAAAGACAAGAUGCCAAAGUCUCAUCUAGACGGAGGAGCGGAAAUUAGGUUUUCAUCCUUUCUAAGAUAUUGGGCAUAAAAAAAUAAAUUUACCACGGAAAUAUUGGAACUAUGGAGUCCCAUUUUGUGGGUAUUGGGUUUGUAUGGUCACACGAAGCUCUAUAGGGGUGUUCUUGGAAUUUUCAAGUGGUAGAAAAAUGGGUUCCUUUGUAAUGGUGGAAUACACAAGAGGCUCGUAAUAGGGAGGUAAUUAUUUUCCCAUGGGCUAUGACUUUGGCUUUAUACUAUGUGUAGUGGCAUGGUUUGCACAAGGGAUCCACAUUGGUUUUACCAUGCCAUGUGACAUCGAGUUUGAGAUGGCCAAAGCAAACACAAGAGAAAACAAAAGGAAGAAUCACCAAAAAAGUAAAUAAAAAACAAGAAAUGAAAAUCGGUAUGGUACACAAAUGGGGAAGGAUGUCCCAUCGAGGGACGUAUAAGAUGAUCUAGCCAAUGUCUCAAGCAGCGUCGAAUCAUAGAGACGUGCUCUCUAGAUCUGGAGCUUUUUUAGGAGGCCUCACGCGAGGAUACGAUAGAUCUGGACCUCCCAGACAUCAAUUCCAACAAAUGGGUGAUAUAAUGAAGGGAUGAUUCGUGAGGUGAAUGAAACCUACAGGAUGAUAGUUUUGGUGUAAAUGUGUGUGGGAGAUUUAGCCAUCUCCCUAGUGCCAAGUUGAGGAUUGACCUGGAGGGUGCCAUACUACUAAAAGGGCUUCUCUCUCCGGGCAUCUGCUCAGCGAGGGGCAGUCCCAAGUGGCCAUAUGACAUGCAAGAUUGCUUCUCCCUUUUGUUGUCUUUACUCCUGAGGAAAGGGUAUGGUGUUGUCCUAUAGCAUAGGGCCUAGCAAAAAGCCUCACCUGAUGCUUACGCGUCUGCCCUAAUAAUAACUAGGAGUACAUCAUGUUCCAACUGAAAAUUAAAAUAUAUGCACACUUCAUUGGGCCAAGCAGUUGAGCCUCUUUAUGUUUUUCCUUUUCAGAAAUCUUGAGCUUAUUUAUGUUUAAGGACAUGUUGAGAAUAUUAUUAUUAUUAUUAUUAUUAUUAUUAUUAUUAUCAUCAUCAUUAAUAAUAUUAUUAUUAUUAUAUAAAGAAGCUCAACAUUCUAGAGUAUCAUGUUUCUCCAAUGUUGCACAAGGUUGGAUUAUGGCAAGUACUCUUGCCUUUUUAGUUUUUUUUGUUGAUUUCUUCAAUUGCAUAUAAGACUUAACCGUAUCUAAGAAUGAAACUCAACCGCAUGAGAAGAUGGACACUUCGGUACAUGUGAGUUACCUUUGUAUUCUCUUCCCCGCGUGUCGCGCCACCGCCACCGCCUAGGAGUGGUGGAUCUACCAUGAAUAGGUUGACAUGAGCCUUUCACCACGACAAGGCUAUCAACCCCAUAGGAAAACCACGGUCAAACGACGGGAUAUGAUGGAUUCCGGCGGAAAUUGCCGGAGGAAGGUAAACCCUAGAAAAACCGCAACGGCCUAAUUUAAUUGUGUCAAUGCAGACAGGCAUAAGCCCAUUUUAUAGCUGAUUCCUAUUUUACGCAUAGGUUGCUAGAAAGCGACCUAGCGCGCACCCUCUCAUGAUCCUCUGUACGGGUCAGCCCAUGGUGCUUUUUCACCGGUUCUAGAACCUUCCCUGGAUCUUUUUUUCUUCUGGCUUUUUCUUUCUUUUAUCUUUUUUGGAUUUUCCUUUUUGUUUUUAUUUUGUUAUUUUGUUAACUUUGUUUUUGUUUUUUGUUUUCAUGUUUUUUGUUUUUACAAGAAAACUUUAGAUCUAUUCAUCUUCAAUCAUGGUAGUACAACAAAUAUCAAAAAUAAUUAAAAAGAAGUAGAUCCAAAUCCGUAGGCCACCUAGCAACAAAUAUCGAAGGCGCGCCGCCGUCAUCAACCCUCCCUCGCCGGGGCCGGGCAAAAUUUGUCGUAGUAGACAAUCGAGAAGUCGUCGUGCUAAGACCCUAUAGGACUAGUGCACCAGAACAACAACCACCGUGAUGAAGAGUUGCGUAAAUCAGAAGGAUCCAACAUGAAAAACACGAAUCCGAGCGGAUCCACCAAAGACAGAUCCUCGAGACACACCUCCACACGCACAUCGAUGAUGCCAUAUGCACCACCGGAACAGGGGCUAGGUAUGGAUAACCUUAGUCCAUCUUGAGAGAGUCGUUGUCGUCUCGCCUGGCUGAGCAGGACAUAAAUCCUAACAAAACUCAAAUAAACAUCUAAUAACAGAGCCCUCCUGCCGGCAAGGGUCACGAUCCAUCGUGCCCCAAUGGCCCUAAUGUUGGGAAACGUUGCAGAAAACAAAAAAUUUCCUACGGUUUCACCAAGAUCCAUCUAGGAGUUCAUCUAGCAACGAGUGAUUGGAUUGCAUCUACAUACCUUUGUAGAUCACGCGCAGAAGCGUUCAAAGAACGGGGAUGAGGAAGUCAUACUCGAUGUGAUCCAAAUCACCGGAGAUCCUAGCGCCGAACGGACGGCACCUCCGCGUUCAACACACGUACGGUCAGCGUGACGUCUCCUCCUUCUUGAUCCAGCAAGGGGGGGAGAGGUUGAGGAAGAUGGCUCCAGCAGCAGCACGACGGCGUGGUGGUGAUGGAGCUGCAGUACUCCGGCAGGGCUUCGCGAAGCUCUAUGGAGGAGGAGGAGGUGUUGGAGAGGGAGAGGGAGGCACCAAAGGCGUGGAUUGAGAGGCCCUCCUUCCCCCAAUAUAUAUAGGGAGCCUAGGGGGCACCGGCCCUAGGAGAUCCAAUCUCCUAGGGGGGCGGCGGCCAAGGGAGGAGUCCCUCCUCCCCAAGGCACCUCGGAGGUGCCUUCCCCUUUUGGGACUCUUCCCUUCCUUAGCCCUAGGCGCAUGGGCCUCUUGGGUCUGGUGCCCUUGGCCCAUGCAGGCCAAGGCGCACACCCCUAUAGCCCAUGUGCCCCCCCGGGAUAGGUGGCCCCACCCGGUGGACCCCCGGGACCCUUCCGGUGGUCCCGGUACAAUACCGGUGACCCCGAAACUUGUCCCGAUGGCCGAAAUAGCACUUCCUAUAUAUAAUUCUUUACCUACGGACCAUUCCGGAACUCCUCGUGACGUCCGGGAUCUCAUCCAGGACUCCGAACAACAUUCGGGUUACUGCAUAUACAUAUCCCUACAACCCUAGCGUCACCGAACCUUAAGUGUGUAGACCCUACGGGUUCGGGAGACAUGUAGACAUGACCGAGAUCGCUCUCCGGUCAAUAACCAACAGCGGGAUCUGGAUACCCAUGUUGGCUCCCACAUGCUCCUCGAUGAUCUCAUCGGAUGAACCACGAUGUCGAGGAUUCACGUAACCCCGCAUACAAUUCCCUUCGUCAAUCGGUAUGUUACUUGCCCGAGAUCCGAUCGUCGGUAUCCCAAUACCUCGUUCAAUCUCGUUACCGGCAAGUCACUUUACUCGUACCAUAAUGCAUGAUCCCGUGACCAGACACUUGGUCACUUUGAGCUCAUUAUGAUGAUGCAUUACCGAGUGGGCCCAGUGAUACCUCUCCGUCAUACGGAGUGACAAAUCCCAGUCUUGAUCCGUGUUAACCCAACAGACACUUUCGGAGAUACCCGUAGUAUACCUUUAUAGUCACCCAGUUACGUUGUGACGUUUGGUACACCCAAAGCACUCCUACGGUAUCCGGGAGUUACACGAUCUCAUGGUCUAAGGAAAAGAUACUUGACAUUGGACAACUCUAGCAAACGAACUAUACGAUCUUAUGCUAUGUUUAGGAUUGGGUCUUGUCCAUCACAUCAUUCUCCUAAUGAUGUGAUCUCGUUAUCAAUGACAUCUAAUGUCCAUAGUCAGGAAACCAUGACUAUCUGUUGAUCAACGAGCUAGUCAACUAGAGGCUUACUAGGGACAUGUUGGUGUCUAUUAUUCACACAUGUAUUAUGAUUUCCGGAUAACACAAUUAUAGCAUGAAUAAAGACAAUUAUCAUGAACAAGGAAAUAUAAUAAUAAUGCUUUUAUUAUUGCCUCUAGGGCAUAUUUCCAACACCUAAGACCAUCGUAGACGAGGAAGACCGAUGGCGGCGCCUACGGGAGGCCUGAACCCUAAGUCCAUUUUGAAAGGAGGCGGUGACUGAAGCGUUUUUUUUCUUUUUCAUUUUGUGAACAUCUUUCAAAUUUGUGAAGAUUUAUUGAAAUCAUGAACAAUUUUUUGAAAUCCUUAUCAUUUCUUCAAUUUGCAAACAUUUUCUGAAAUCAUGAACAUUUUACGAAUUCAUCAUUGAACAAUUUUUUAAUUCACGGACAUUUUUUGCUGUCAAGAACAUUUUUCGCAUUUGCAAAAAAAAUUAUAAAUUCACAAACAUUCUUCACAAAUUCUCAAACAUUUUUUGGAUUAGAAAACAUUUUUUAAAACUCAAUGAAUAGUUUUAGAAUCAGCAAAAAAAAUUCAAUCGAUGAACAUUUUUUUAAUUUGGAAUUUUUGUUUUGUCAAACGCUUUUUGAAUCAGCGAACAUUUCUUGAAUCAAUAUAAUUUUAAAAAUUUGGGAACAAAUUUAUAAGUAUUUUUAGAAAAAUCAUGAACAUUUUUUGUGGUUGUUAACAUUUUUUGAAUUUGUGACUAUUUUUCAAAUUCAUGAACACUUUAUGUAAUUAAGAACUUCUUUUGAAAUCCCGGCCAUUUUUUUAUUGAUGUUAAGAUUCAAUCAUAGUUCUUGUAACCUUUCAAGAAAAUUGAUGAAAGUGCUUGUUGCAUUAUGACCUUUCAAGAAACCAAAAGGGAUAACUUUGAUCUUGCCUACAUAAAAAACUUUUGCCCCAAGAGAUUCAACCAGUACUGUUUUUCCCCAUCCAAUGGUAAUUCAGGUGGUUUAAUUACUAUCAGGAAUGGCAACAUGUUAAAGGGUGAAGUUAUAUCUAGCAACUACUUCCAUAUUACUAUCAAACUUACUUCUAACCUGGAUAAUAGUUGUUGGUAUAUCACUAAUGUGUAUGGUCCCAACUCUGUGGAUGGCAAACUGGAAUUUGUGUCUUGGCUGCAGAAUCUUAACAUCAAUCAGAGCAAGUUAUGGAUAGGGGAUUUCAACUUCAUUAGAGGACCUGACAACUGAAACAAGCCAGGAGGUGAUCCAAACAGCAUGAUGCUCUUUAAUAAUAUCAUCAUAAAUCUUUAUCUAGUAGGAAUACCAUUGAAAGUAAGAUCAUUCACAUGGAGUAACAAACAGGACAAUCCACUAUUGAAAAAAAUGGAUUGGGUUUUCACAAGCUCCCAUUGGACUACUGUACAUCCUUCAACCAUGGCUAUUCUAUUGGCUAAGAUCUCAUCUGACCAUGUUCCCAUUAAAAUUAUGAUUGGCAGUGCUAUCCCCAAAAGCAACAUUUUCAGAUUUGAGGAGUUCUGGACUGAAUUUAAUGGUUUCAUUGAUGUAGUUGAGAACCAUUGGUAUAAUUCUAUACACUUCUCUGAUUCAGCCAAGCAUCUAAAUGCCAAAUUUAAAGCUCUUAGAAGAGGCCUAAAAAAUGGAGCAAGAAAUUCUCACAGCUUAGUAAAACUAUUGAAAACUGUUGCUUUUAUGUCGAGCUCAUUGAUGGAUUGGAAGAUCAAAGACUACUCACCAGAAGGGAAGCAAACUUUAGGAAAAUCCUCAUCAACCACACCAAUAAACUUCUAGAGGCUAAAAGGUUAUACUAGAGAAUUAGAGCUAAUAUCAGAUGGGCAAAACUUGGUGAUGAAAAUACCAAGUUCUUCCAUGCUGUUGCAUCUCAGGUUUUUAGGCACAAUUAUAUCACUUUCCUGAUAUUCUCUGAUGGCCAAUGCAGUUAUGAUCAUGACCAAAAGGCUGCCAUAAUAUGGGCAUCCUUUAAGGACAAAAUUGGCACUCAAGCUGACAAUAUUAGGGAUUUUCAUUUAUCUCAUUUGAGAAUGGAUAAUAUCACAUCAGAUCUUGAUAGACCCUUUUCAACUGAGGAAAUUUAUGAGGUUAUUAAGCACAUGCCCAAUGACAAGUCUCCUGGUCCUGAUGGUUUUAAUGGAAUAUUUAUGAAAAAAUGCUGGGACAUCAUCAAGAAUAGUUUCUAUAAAUUCAUCAAUGAUUUUCAUCAAGAAGCUGUCUCUUUGCUGCCUAUCAAUACUGCUUACAUUGCACUUAUUCCUAAAAAGGACAAUCUUGAAACUCUCAAUGACUUUAGGCCCAUCUCCCUGGUGAGCAUGCCUAUCAAAAUUGUCACAAAAUUACUGGCAAACAGAGCUUAGCCAGUCAUAUUAGCAAGGGUCAGCAAAAACCAGUAUGGAUUCAUUAAAACCAGGAACAUUCAGGAUUGUCUAGCUUGGAGUUUGUGAAAGUUCCUGGUUAGGAUCAUCAUCUUCAAGAUUGACUUUGUGAAAGCUUUUGACUAAGUAAACUACAAUGCUAUCAUUUUCAUGAUGAGGCAUUUUGGAUUUAGUGACAAAUGGAUCAGGUGGGUCAACAUGAUAUUAUCCACUGCUUCCACUUAUGUUAUUCUUAAUGGUGUUCCUAGGAAAAACAUCCAUUGCAAAUGUGGUGUUGGGCAAGGAGAUCCAUUUUCCCCACUGUUAUAUGUGCUGGUUGGUGAAUUGUUGCAAAUAUUAGUUAAUGAAGCUUGAAGAAAUGGCACUGUUAAUUUACCUAUUGAUACCAACAAUACUGAAAGUUACCCCAUCAUCCAGUAUGCUGAUGAUACUCUUAUCAUUCUGCCUGCUCAGGAGGAGCAAAUUGGUAAUUUUACUGAGAUCCUAAACAACUUCUAUAGGUUUACUGGGCUCAUUGUUAAUUAUAGCAAAUCAUCCCUUGUGCCUAUCAACAUCUCUGAUGACAGAUCUCAAGAAUUAGCUGACAUUCUUAGAUGUAAGAAAGAAUUCAUGCCUUUCACUUACCUAGGUUUGCCUAUGGGUACUACAAGACCAAAAGUUGUUGAUCUCAUGCCAAUGGUAUCCAAGUUGGACCACAGAUUAUCUGGCAUUGCAAACUUGAUGACUUACUCAGGUAGACUCACACAUCUUAAAGCCAUUGUCUCUGCUUUGCCCAUAUUUGCAAUGUGUUGUAUCAGAGUGCCUUUCACUAUCCUGGAUCAUUUUGAGAAAUCUGGGAGAAGCUUCCUAUGGUAUGGUAAGGGGAUCAAUAAACAUGGGAAUUGUUUAGUUAAAUGGGGAAAAAUAUGCCUACCCAAAAAAGCAUGUGGUUUGGGUAUUCUUGAUCUUAGAAUGCAAAACAGGGCUCUGCUUACCAAGUACCUAUACAAAUUCUUCAACAAAAAUGACAUUCCCUUGGUCAAAUUGAUAUGGAACAAUUACUAUCAUAAUGGGGAGCUACCAAAAUUCCCCACAAAUGUGGGAUCCUUUUGGUGGAGGGACUGCUGCUCUAUUCUCCAAGAUUUUAAAAACAUGACAAAUUGCUCUGCAGGUAUUGGUAACACUGUUAGCCUAUGGUAUGAUAAUUGGUGCUCUCAACCAAUAAUGAGCAUGAUGGCUCAGCUUUUCUCAUACACAAAAAAUGAACACAUUACUCUGGAGGCUGCCACCAACCUGGAUGACACUAAUUUUUAUGCAUGUUUCAUUUACCUAUCCAGUAUUGCUGUUCAACGGAGUACUCAGCUUAGCUAUAGAACCAUGAUUAAUGAUAGAGGGAACCAAACAGUGAUGGACUCAUGGAAAUUUCAUUGGGGUGGCUCCAACUAUUCUAACAAAAGGAUAUAUCUAGAAUAUAUUGGGAACUCUGUUGAUGCCCCCAAACCAUUUCAGUAGAUAUGGAAAUCAUGUACUCUAGCUAAGCAAAAAAAAUUCUUCUGGCUGCUAUUACAGGACAAAUUAAAUACUAGAGACUUUCUUACAAGGAAAAAUUUCCAUAUUGAAUCUGCCAGAUGUGUGCUUUGUGAUGAUGAACCUAAGGAAUACCUUUAUCAUCCGUUCUUUAGUUGUGAUUUCAGCCAGAACUUCUGGAUGGCCAUUGGUUUUCAAUGGAAUACUGACUAUGAGCUUUUGGAUUUACUCAUGGAGGGCAAGAAACACAACCAUGUUGUAUGCUACAAGGAGUGCCUCAUUAUAGGAUGUUGGAGUAUUUGGAAGCAUAUGAACAACAUCAUCUUUGAUCAAAAACCCAAGAAUAUGCAGUACUGCAUCAGUACAUUCAAGGAGCACUUUGAGAUGAUUAUCAAAAAAGCCAAACCUAGUUUGAAGGAAGGGAUGCAGAGCUGGCUAAACUACUUGUAGAUUCCAUUCAUUUGUCUUGUUAAAUCUUGUAUAGUGAUGUAAAUUGUUCUAUCAUAUUAAUGAAAAUCAGAGUUACAGUGGGGGCCUUCCCCACUGUGUUUGCUAAAAAAAUAAAGCAUUGAAAGAAGGAAAACGAAAAAAAACAGGGACGCCAUGCGCCCACAUAUGGCUGGCCGAAAUCAUGCACAGAGGAGGGAGGGGGUGCGCGUUCGCGGAGCAUCCAGAUUCGCAAUACAAUAAUUAUGGCUAUUCUUUGGAGUCUAUGGAAAAGAAGGGAUGCAAAAAUCUUCAAAAAUGAGGUGGAAUCUUUAGGAUUCGUCUUACGUCGUGCAACUCAAGUCAUUUUUCUUUUGGUCUACUCGAUGUUUUUCUUUUUUUUCCUUGUCUGUCCGCCUUCUGUGUAUAUAUUCUCUGUUGAACCUCAAAUUCAAUAAAAUGUGUUCAGGCUGGCUUUUUGUGUGUGUGUGUGUUCUUUUUUGUUUUGAGAAAGUUUGUGUGUGUGUGUUCAAAGCUGGCUUUGCCCGCCUCAAAAGGUAGGAGCUCCAACUUUUACAAGUUAGGCCUAUUGUCUUAUCGUACCUCCUCGGAGCCCAUAACGGCCCAGAUCAGCCCGUGCGCCCGCGGCUGGACCAUAACGGCCCACUCUACUUCUCCGCGACGCCCCACCUAUAAAAUAGACUCCACACAUCUUCCGACCAAAACCCUACCCCUCGAACAACCGCGCCGCCGCCGCCGCCGCCGCCGCUCCCCAGCGUUCGGGUCGCUCGCCGCCGGCCAGCUCGCGCCGCAACUCCGCCAUGAAGGUACGCGCUGCCCUUCACCUCCCGAUGCGCUCUGAUGUGAUCUGUUCCUGUGCGACGCCUGAUUCGUGUGGUUUUGGCCUUGGUUUCAGUUGAACAUCGCGAACCCCACCACGGGGUGCCAGAAGAAGGUCNNNNNNNNNNNNNNNNNNNNNNNNNNNNNNNNNNNNNNNNNNNNNNNNNNNNNNNNNNNNNNNNNNNNNNNNNNNNNNNNNNNNNNNNNNNNNNNNNNNNNNNNNNNNNNNNNNNNNNNNNNNNNNNNNNNNNNNNNNNNNNNNNNNNNNNNNNNNNNNNNNNNNNNNNNNNNNNNNNNNNNNNNNNNNNNNNNNNNNNNNNNNNNNNNNNNNNNNNNNNNNNNNNNNNNNNNNNNNNNNNNNNNNNNNNNNNNNNNNNNNNNNNNNNNNNNNNNNNNNNNNNNNNNNNNNNNNNNNNNNNNNNNNNNNNNNNNNNNNNNNNNNNNNNNNNNNNNNNNNNNNNNNNNNNNNNNNNNNNCGCCAUGCUUGAUUGCUUUUGGGAAAUCGCGCUUCUGUGUAGUGUAUCUGUUUGCAGUUUGGUGGACUCCUGAAUGCUUGCUGUAGUCUUUGCAUCUUGUCCUUUUACUUUGUUAGAAAUUGGAUGGUGCGUUAAUAGGACGAUCUUCUAAAUGUUAUGGUGCGACUAGAAUCGUGUUAAUCGAUUGCUGUUGGAGUGGACUAGAAUUGAAGCUCUUUGAGCGUUGUUAUGAAAUAACAGUAAUAUCACGUAGGUUACUACUUGGUGUCGAUGUUCAAAUAUAGUUUCAAGUUGCAUUUUCCUACUUUGAGCGGCAGAUAAAUGCACAUUUAGACUGCGUACUCUGGACUUGUAAAUAUGUAUUCCGAGUUAGCAAGCGCACAACAAUAGUAGAUAUUGUUGGAGGGCUAAGCGCACCACAACCCUCCCACAUUCUUAACAAAUAGAUUAACAAACAGUGGUUUCCAAAAAAACUUGUGAUGCUCAAUACUGAUUAGUUUUCAGCAAAAUAUAGGAUACCAUGGACCCUGUAAUGCCAUGGACAAGGUUGAACUGUUUUUCAACCGCUUCAAAAAUAUGACGUGAUGCGGCUAGCUGUUUUGGUGGAAAAAUGUUGUAACAGAACAAAGGUAGUUUACCUGUGAAACCACCAUAAGCACGCUGUAGUGGUUAAUGAUAAGUAUAUUCGAGUUUGUUGGCUGACAAAAAUUUCCAGUUAGAAUUUACUCUUUCCAUUUUUUGUUUGGAUAUUUAACAUUUUGUUAUGAACUAUAGGCGGAACCUUUAUGACAAGAGGAUCUCCCAGGAGGUAGUUGGUGAUCUUCUGGGUGAGGUAAUCUACUGGCAACGUAUUUCAUGGCUACUUAUUUCAUGAUACAUAACCCUUGACCUGAUGUUUUGAUAGUUUUGAUCAAAGAUAUCUGUCAUUUCCUGUAUUUUCAGGAAUUCAAGGGUUAUAUCUUCAAGAUCAUGGGUGGAUGUGAUAAGCAGGGCUUCCCGAUGAAGCAAGGAGUGCUAACUUCUGGGCGUGUCCGCCUUCUGCUUCACAGGGGUAUAACUUUACUUCCAUUGUACAUCUUACUUAUAUUUUCCCUCUUGGACUGAAAUCUUACCUGCAUCUCUUUUGUGUCAAUUCUGCAGGCACGCCUUGCUUCCGUGGUUUUGGCAGGCGUAAUGGUGAGCGCAGGAGGAAAUCCGUCCGUGGUUGCAUUGUCAGCCAAGACCUAUCUGUUAUCAACUUGGUGAUUGUCAAGAAGGGUGAGAAUGAUCUGCCAGGCCUUACUGACACUGAGAAGCCCAGGAUGAGGGGACCCAAGAGGGCCUCCAAGAUCAAGAAGCUCUUCAACCUUGGCAAGGAUGAUGAUGUCCGCAGCUAUGUCAACACAUACCGCAGGACCUUCCUUAACAAGAAGGGUGAGUUCUCAACCGUGCCCUAUUCUUGUUCCAUCUUGGAUCCUGCUUGCCCACUUUCACUUUUCUUUAGGAAAAAUAUUCUUUCCUUGUAAUAUCAUAGUGCUUGUCUGAGCAGUUUUGUGUCUCUCAUUUACUUCUUUCUUACCUAGAUCAUAUUGUUCCUUAUUUCCAGGCAAGAAGGUGAGCAAGGCUCCCAAGAUCCAGCGCCUUGUGACUCCCUUGACACUCCAGAGGAAGCGCGCCAGAAUAGCAGACAAGAAGAAGAGGAUCGCAAAGAAGAAGUCAGAGGCUGCAGAGUACCAGAAGCUGCUUGCACAGAGGCUCAAGGAGCAGAGAGACCGCCGCAGCGAGAGCAUGGCCAAGAGGAGGUCGAAGCUGUCUGCUGCCACCAAGGCUCCUGCUGCCUCUGCCUAAGAUGUUUACAGUCUUCCGUUAUUAGCUGUAAUAGUGGAAGAAUUUCUCGCACUUUGUUGGAUGAUAUGAAUCUAGCUGCUACUUUCAGCGUUGUUGAGUUGUAAUUGAUGCUGUUUUGCGUGAACAUGGGUACCUUAAUCGUCAGGAGUUUGUUACUGAAUGAACAAAAUUGCAUGAACUUGGAUAAUUGAUGCAGUUUUGUGUGAACAUGGAAUCUUAUCAAGAGGUACUUGUUACUCAAGUUCUAUGGUGGUUCAGGUUGAGGUAUCCCCUCUUAUCAACCACUUUAACAUUUUUCAGUACUUUAAUUUGCUCCAUUUGAAUUCUGAAUUUACUAUUGAUGUUUUCAUACAUCUUGACUGCUAUUUGUGCUAGAUGAUUUUCCACCACAUCAUAAGAUUCUUAAUAUAAUAUAGGCGUGUAUUAGUUGGAUCUUUGAUAGUCUUUUUUGUUUGAAAUGGAAUUGGAACCGACUGUUCUAUAGGUUCACUACCUUGAGUCAAUCAAUCUUAUGUGUAAGAAUCAAAAGUUUAACGUCGACGGAGCUCCGACAGAUUUAUGCUGUCUUCUUGCGGUGGUGCGGUAGCGGUGGUGCGGUAGCGUUUAACGUCGAUGACAGGGGCACAUGCACAAAGACUUACUAGCGGCGACAACUGCUCGUUCUGAUUGCAGUAGUGGUCUUUUGGUGGUCUUGAAAUCUUGAUUUAGUUUAUGUUAUGUUUGACAUGCUUUUAGUUUUUUGGUGAAUUUUUAUAAUAGAUCUGAUCCUUCCUAGAAAAAAAUUUGCCAAAGUUUUGGUAGGAUCAUGCCAACAAUCCGAAGCUCGGGAGAUUUUCUUUAUUUUGCAUUUGUUGUGUUGCGAUUCCUUUCCUAUGUUGCAAGUUUCACUUCUGACUUGCAUGUUUAGUCUGCUCUAAGGCAAUCAAGAGAUGCAAAAGCUAAAACUUGUCAACUAAAAGCUGAUUUUUUUCUUCAAAAUGUCCAUUCACCUCCUUAUCCUCCUACUCUAGAUCAUAUAUUUGAGUACUUGACCCUACACCGUCCUUAACUGAGUCAUCUUCCCCUUCUCAUGACAGUUGAACUAUGCAGUCCUGCAGAAUUUUCCUUAGUGGCGGUCAAUUCUUUAUGCCCUUGUCUUGCUAUAAGCUACUCCCUCCGUCUCACAAUAUAAGACAUUCUAUGCUAGCUUGCAAAAACGCCUUAUAUUGUGGGACAAAGGGAGUACCUCAGUUUCUUCCUUUCUUCUUUCGCAUUUCUUUGUCGGAAACCACGAUGUUGGUUAAAUAUAUGUUUUGACUCAAGAUCAAAGGCAAGUAAUCAUCCAUGAAGAAAUUGAAAACGAGAUGUGAUUAACACUUUAGACCAGCUUAUGUUCUUCAUGAUAGUAUGUUUACAAAAACGAGAAAGCUAACCACCUGUCGACUGGACAUUAGGGACAGGCACGAACGAGUCCCGCGUUGUCAGAUAGGAAAUGAGCGGCUCAUGAUCCACCUUAUCCCUUCCUCCUUUCUCUCCCCCGACGGCGUCCAAUCUCCUUCCUCCUGCGCCAGGUGGCCAAGGAGAGCUACCAGGCGCGAGACCAAGUGUAGCAGCAGCUCCUCGUGGCGGCCAAGCAGGCGGCGGCGCUAGCAGCGACGACACUAGCGCUGGGUACGUCGAGCGUCACCGACUUGGACUGUAGCCUCCUGUCGUCCCCGAUGGACCCCUUCUUCGACCCUAUCACCUCCUUCGACCGGGCUGCUGCGUCGGCCGGUCGGCGGCAAGCUCAGCCGCGCCAGCCCGCCCCCGCCGGCCAAGCAGCAGCUGCAGCAGCAGUGCGGCACCGACGCGAUUCUCGACAUGCUCGCCGCGAAGAUGCCGCUGCCGUCGAGGGACCGGCUGCUGCACUCUGUGCACAUGCUUCCGCUGCUGCUGCUGUAGUCUCUGUUGUAGUACAUGUAUGCUGAGAAUUAUGGAGCAGAGAUGAUGUCUUCACGCCUUGGUAGCCGAUACAAGGUCUCAACCACAUUUUGGCUGCUUAACCGAAGUUGCAGGGCUGAAUUUGGUGGCUUACAUGGGCAGCCCACGGCUCUACUCUGUUAGCUUCGGUUCAGUAACUUCAGUUUUGUAAGAACUUGCCAAGCCAUUUUUACAUGUAUUUUCUUCCCAAAGAAUAUCACAGAAUUGAAUGAAUGAUCUCCUUCAUGGUGUAUCUCAAUCUAUAAUUUUUUAUAGUAUGAUUAUUCUAUGGAAUGAAUGAUCAUCUCCUCCAUGUAGAAAUGCUACUCUGACUGACUCUUAACAUCCUUCUUGCAUGAUAAUUAAGGAUUGCUGCCACGUGUCACCGCUCCCCCGCGCUCAUGCGGCUAGACACUCCUUGCAUUGUCAUUCCCUUGCAUUGAUCAAUCAAUGGUCUAAACGAAGCAACAACAAAAAUAGAGUCCGAUAACUCAUGUACCUCGGUCCUGAUAACUCACACAUCACAAACCUGAUAACUUAUGUACCCCACGCGGGGAGUGGGGGGUAGGGGGUUGAUGAAGUAUCCGCCGGUAACGGACCUGAUAACUUAUGUACGCCGGUCUUGGUACUUUUGUGAAUAGCAUGAUAACUCACACAUCAUAGACCUGAUAACUUAUGUACACGACCCUGAUAACUNNNNNNNNNNNNNNNNNNNNNNNNNNNNNNNNNNNNNNNNNNNNNNNNNNNNNNNNNNNNNNNNNNNNNNNNNNNNNNNNNNNNNNNNNNNNNNNNNNNNNNNNNNNNNNNNNNNNNNNNNNNNNNNNNNNNNNNNNNNNNNNNNNNNNNNNNNNNNNNNNNNNNNNNNNNNNNNNNNNNNNNNNNNNNNNNNNNNNNNNNNNNNNNNNNNNNNNNNNNNNNNNNNNNNNNNNNUGAAUAGCAUGUAACUCACACAUCGCAAACCUGAUGACUUAGCUACAAACACCGCGGUAAAUUUAGACGCAAGUAAAAAGUUGUUGAAACAUACUCUGGUUACUUCUAUGCAAAUAGCACGGUAAUAUAUGCAUCGUACACCUGAUAAAUUAGGUACAAAAACCAUGGUAACUUUAACCCCUGGGAAAGAAGUGGUUGAAAACACACCUCUGAUCACUUCUGCAUAAAUAACAUGUUAAUUUACAUAUAACAUAACUGAUAACUUUACGGUAACUUUUGAACCAAAAAGUCAUCAAAACAGGCCAACAUGAGAUCUUGUUUCGAAGUUCUCGUCGUGACGGAUUUUUUAUGUGAAAACGAUUUUUUCAACGACGGUUUGAGCUAUAAAAUAAUUUACAGUUUCAAAAUAGCGAAAAUCUACAAUGUCAUCUGCUUUCCUGUGCUCUAGUGCAUUUGCAUGUGGGGAGAACGUUGGAGGAGACAUUUUUUUGUCCGGGUAAUUUCUAUAUAAACAUGAUGGUAAAUGACGUACCACAAAGGUGAUAACUUAUUUAGUCUAGGUCUGGUAACUUUUGACCCAAAAAAAAAGUCGUCGAAACAUACCAAUAUGGGAUCUAGUGUCGAAGAUCUCGUCGCAACGAAUCUUUCAUGUGAAAACAGUUUUUAAACCGGAGCAACGGUUUAACCUACAAAAAUUUUAAAGUUUUAAAUUUGAUUUAAUUUUUGAUGACAUCAUCAGUUUUGUCCUAUAUGCAUGCAUGCACCUAUUAGGGAAAAAAUUAGACGAAUAUGUUUAUUUUUGUAUUAAAAAAAGAAUCAACACCCGGCAACAUCUGUUACUUAUCUUCCGGUCGACUGGAAGUUAGCACUGUCCUUACAAAAACUACCACAACUAGAUGCCACAAUUGGGCCUAAUUAUCGGCUCAUAUCACUCCGCUCUCUUCCCCAACCGCACGAGAGGCGAUUUGGGAGGAGAACCAAUGGCCCCUUCCUCCGGCGGCAAAGCCACAAGUCCCCACCUCCAUCGCCGGCCCAGGUGCUUAGGCUUCGGCCGGUAGUUAAGGUGCAAAAAAUUUAUUGUGGUUUCAAGUAGGACCUACAAAUAAGGCAGGCGAUAUCCUCCUUCAACCAUCUCGAACAAAGAUGGCAUCGUCUGGAUCUAAUGGGACAAAGCAGGUUCGUAUGCGAAGGUGCCCUUCUAGAUAUGGCUUCGGGCAGUGCAAGACGGUGCAAUAGGCGGUGCACCAAGGACUAUGGAACGGUGCGUUUUUUUUUUUGGGGGGGUCCUUCACCGUGCAGCUAAUACUCAUCCGCAGCCUGCACCAUGUUCUUCGUUUUGAAGCUUAAGGAGAUGUCGCGGGAGCUCAUAAACGAUAUCUGCGUGCAAUCAAAUGUUCAAUAUAGUACUAAGCCAAAGUAGCUUAGCAAAAUUCUUCAAAUUCUUCAAAUUUUGACAACAAAAAUUAAAUCCGAACAAACAAAGAGCUCAUUUCACCUGCCUAUAACAAGCUAAUUUCAUCAUGCGCCAAACAAGUCAACCAUCAAAAUUAAGCUCAAGGAUAAUAUUCAUUAAGUACUUUAAUUAGAAAAUACUCCCUUCAUUCCUAAAUAUUUGUCUUUCUAGAGAUCUCAAAAAUGACUACAUACGGAGCAAAAUGAGUGAAUCUACGCUUUAAAAUAUAUCUACAUACAUCCGUAUGCCGUAGUCCAUUUGGAAUCUCUGAAAAGACAAAUAUUUAGGAACGGAGGAAGUAACAAGGUGCAAAAAGUAACGAGCAGAUUAAAUGGCCGAUAAGAGUACUUGAGUAGAAACUAACAUACAACUCUGGCAAACUCAUGACAAUAGAGUACCCAUCAUGUUCAUGGUAAACUGCAUCAGGUACAAACCCAAGAAAGCUACUCCAGUAACAAAACUUACAAUGAUAAAGUACCCAUGUUCACGCAAAAUUGCAACAAUUACCAACCCAAGAAAACUGAAAGUAGCGGGUAGAUUUUUCCAACAAAGUGCAAAGGACUGUAACCAUCUUAAGCAGAGGCAGCAGGAGCCUUGGUGGCAGCAGAAAGCUUCGACCUCCUCUUGGCCAUGCUCUCACUCCGGCGGUCCCUCUGCUCCUUCAGCCUUUGUGCAAGCAGCUUCUGGUACUCCGCAGCCUCGGACUUCUUCUUGGCAAUCCUCUUCUUCUUGUCUGCGAUUCUGGCGCGCUUCCUCUGGAGGGUCAAGGGAGUCACAAGACGCUGGAUCUUGGGAGCCUUGCUCACCUUCUUGCCUGGAAAUAACAAUCAAUGUGAUCCAGGUAAGAAAGCGGUAAAUGAGAGACACAAAACUGCUCAGACAAGCACUAUGAUAUUAAAGGAAAUAGUAGUAACUUUCCUUAAGACAAGUGAAAGAUGGCAAAAUAACACAGCAGGAUCCACGAUGGAACAGGAAUAGGGCUAAUGCAGUAAACUAACACAGUUGAAAGCUCACCCUUCUUGUUAAGGAAGGUCCUGCGGUACGUGUUGACAUAGCUGCGGACAUCAUCGUCCUUGCCAAGGUUGAAGAGCUUCUUGAUCUUGGAAGCCCUCUUGGGUCCCCUCAUCCUGGGCUUCUCAGUGUCAGUAAGGCCUGGCAGAUCAUUCUCACCCUUCUUGACAAUGACCAAGUUGAUAACAGAUAGGUCUUGGCUGACAAUGCAACCACGGACGGAUUUCCGCCUGCGCUCACCAUUACGCCUGCCAAAACCACGGAAGCAAGGUGUGCCUGCAGAAUUGACGCAAAAGAGAUGCAGGUAAGAUUUCAAUCCAAGAGGGAAAAUGUAAGUAAUAAGAAGUACAAUGGAAAUAAAGUUAUACCCCUGUGAAGCAGAAGGCGGACACGCCCAGAAGUUAGCACUCCUUGCUUCAUCGGGAAACCCUGCUUAUCGCAGCCACCCAUGAUCUUGAAGAUGUAACCCUUGAAUUCCUGAAAAUACAGGAAAUGACAGAUAUCUUUGAUCAAACUAUCAAAACAUCCGGAAGGGUUAUUUAUCAUGAAAGAAGUUACUGGUAGAUUACCUCACCCAGAAGAUCACCAACUACCUCCUGGGAGAUUCUCUUGUCAUAAAGGUUGCGCCUGUAGUUCAUACCAAAAUGUUAGAUACAGCCAAACAAAACAAAAUGGAAACUCCAACGGGAAUAUUAUGUCAAUCAACAUACAUUAAUAUACUGAUCAUUAGCCACCCACUAAAAGCCUGCUUAUGGUGAUUUCAGAAGUAAACUACUUUGUUUUAUCACAAUGCCCAUAAAAUAGUUAAAACAGCUAAUUUCAUUAUGUCAUGGCAUCAUCCGUCAUAUUUUUGAAGCAGUUGAAAAAACAGUGCAACCUUGUUCAUGGCAUCACACGGUCCAUUCUUACCUAUGUUUUUCAAAACUAAAGUACUGAGCAUCAAAAGAUAUUUGAAGCCAUUCACUGUUAAUCAAGUUGUUAAGAAUGUGGGAAGGGUUGGAUAUGCUUAGCCAUCUAAUAUUGCUGUACGCUUGCUAAGUCGAAUACAAAUAUACAAUUUGAGAGUAAACAAUCUUAAUAUACAUUUAUCUGCAGCUCAAAGUAAGAAAAUAAACAUAGUGUGCUCGAUGCAAUUUGAAACCACACUGAAAAUAUAGCAAACAUCCUUGAUACAGUAUUACUGUUAUAAGAAGACUGUCAAUAGCCCUCAAAGAACUUUAAUUCCAGUCCACUCCAACAUCAAAAGCUUCAACAGGAUUCUAAUCGCACCAUAACACUUAUAAGAGCGUCCUAUUAACACACAAUCAUAAAUAAUGGUUCCACGCACAAGACUACAGCAUUCACGAUUCCACAAAAGUGGAAACAGAAACGCGAUUUCCCAAUAGCAAUCAAGCAUGGCGAUUCCACGACGCGGAUCUAAAGGGCGAAGGGCGAGAUGAGAAACACUCACAGCUUCUGGUCGUCAUCGAUCUCGACCUUCUUCUGGCACCCCGUGGUGGGGUUCGCGAUGUUCAACUGAAACCAAGGCAAAAACCACACGAAUCAGGCGUCGCACAGGAACAGAUCACAUCAGAGCGCAUCGGGAGGUGAGGAGAGCGCAGUCUCGGGUCAGAUAUGCGGGCAUCGGAAGGAGGGGAGAAGUGCGUACCUUCAUGGUGGAGUCGCGGCACGAGAUCGCCGGCGGCGAGCAACCCGAACGCUGGGUGGAGCGGCGGCGGCGCGGUUGCUCGAGGGGUAGGGUUUUGGGCGAAGAGGGUGCGGCGGAAAUGCGUGGAGCAGGUUAUAUAGGUGGGGGCGUUGAGUGGGCCGCUAUUGUCCAGCCACGGGCUCCGAAGUUGAUCUGGGCCUGAAGUACAAAAUGGGCUUGUGCCCGCAUAUAUGGGAGCGACACGUUUUUUCUAUAAAAAAAACUUGCAUGAUUGUAUGUUGAGGUGUGUCUUAUCUCAUCCAUAAUUAUAUAGUGAUGUGGCAUACUUGUAUGUUAAAAUAAAUAAGUUAGUGGGAUGACUCUUUUAGGUAUAAAAGAUUGUCAUUAGUUAAAUGCAGUUGCACUCUGGAUUGCCUCUUACAAAUGAUUUCAUUAUUAGUUAUUCCUUUCUUCGUAAGCACUUGACCGUCGUUAUUGCUACGGUAUGUUAUUGUCCAAUAUGCCAAAUUAUAUAUAUUAAGAACUGUGAAACCCAUAAGUGUUAUUACAUUUUGUUAGAAUGCACUCAUGUGCAUUGCAAGUAGAGAAACACAAUAAUAAUGGGAUUUGCGUGUGCGUUUUUGAUUCACGAGAAGGUAGAUACUACAUGGCGGGGUAAAAUCAGAUAAACUUUGUGCAUACAUUUUUCCUAGAUGGGAUGAAGUAAUUUUUUAUUCAACCUUACAUGCAGCUUACACUUCCAUUAACCUCCACAGGUUGGGGUGGAUGUGCUAUCUUUUAGGCACUACACUUCCAUUAACCUGAUAAUUGCAUGGGAUGAAAAGAGUUUUUUCUUCAACCUUACAUGCAACUUAUAAUUUCUCUAGCCUGGAAGUUGCAUGCAAAUAGUUUUUUAUUCUGACAACUUACCUUGCUUGAUUCACGAGAUAUUAGCAGUGCGGAGCUUUAUAACCCUGUGCUUACUUGAAUGUAGUAAAGAUCAUCCAACCUUCUUUCAAGGGUGGCGGCACAUCAAUUAGGUGGAACUGAGAUGUUGCUGUAUUGAGCACCAGCAUACCGGAGGCUCCCUUCCCAAAGGUCCAGUACACGAAUCCAUCAACCACCUUGCCAGGUUUGAAGGAGC
This 78771-nucleotide long non-coding RNA is filed under the name Triticum aestivum (bread wheat). RNAcentral describes it as "long non-coding RNA (TAES_LNC020046)". The stretch from base 27466 to 27596 matches the Rfam family "MIR1120/MIR1122 microRNA precursor family". The record is from RNAcentral. Lineage: Eukaryota; Viridiplantae; Streptophyta; Magnoliopsida; Poales; Poaceae.